RNAcentral lists this long non-coding RNA (58136 nucleotides) under Durio zibethinus. Its description in RNAcentral is "long non-coding RNA (DZIB_LNC001931)". Lineage: Eukaryota; Viridiplantae; Streptophyta; Magnoliopsida; Malvales; Malvaceae. The record is from RNAcentral.
CAUAUGGGUUUUCUUAUAGAUUUACACGAGAAGGAUUUCUAUGAUAUGCAUGAUUUCCUAGUGUUGGACUCAGUUUCUGUUGGUUCAAACAGUGAAGACGGUAUCAGUGCUGGUCAUAUUGUUAAUCCAUUUAACGACAACAGCAAUGAAACCUGUCAAUCAGAUUUACUAGGUUCCAAUACCUAGAAGGGGUCCUAUUGUCAAAACACAUUAUGUAGCAUUUCGGAAACCCGUGAUUUUACUGAGGGAACCAAGCAGGGUCUGGCUUGUAGCACAGCUUUCAUGGGCGAAUGGUUGCACAAGGCAAGAGGGGUAAGCAGUGUAAAUCUAUUCAUGGGAGUUAAAGUACUUGCAAACUUGGACGUAUAAGGAACUUGCAUAUUUGAAUGGGAACAGAGAACAGUCAUUCUGUUUGGCAAAGGGUUCAGAAGAAUGUUGUAGAGAAAUGCAACACUGAGUUGAAUAGAACAAAUCCCAUUUGCUGCUCACAGUUUGAUGUUACUUUAAAAGAUGAUCCAUUGCUGAAAAGAAACUUCAAAACCAGAAAAAAGCAGACAUUCCAGGAAGGAGUCUCAUCCCAACAAGGUAAACUUAAAUGCUUAUGCAAAGACUAGCAUGCCAAAAAGAGAAAUAUUAGAUGUUUGAACUUCUCUGGAUGACCAUGGAGUAAUUUAAAAUCUUUCAAGGUCUUGUUCCCACCUUGGUUCCCAGCUUGGUUUUGAGAAGGUUCAGACCAUGAAAUCUAAAUCAGUUAACGACUUUCAAGUUGGUCCAAGCAACAUGGAACCAUGUGAUAAUGAGAUGUUCGUAAAUAUAUUAACAAAUUUGAUAUCAAUGGACCCAACUAAUAGUCAAACCAAAUUACAUUGCAUUCACCCGUCAGCAAGGCAACAAUAAAGGACCAACAAAUUAUUUUUUUUUUAAGUGAAUCAAAGAAAACCUUAUCAUGAUUCAAUAAGAAACAUACCCUCAAGAAUCUCUUGAAUGAUAUGCUAAGAAAGAAUUCCAAGAAACUUUACAUCAACAUUAAGAUAAACUCAACAUAAAACAUUUAUACAUGCUAUUAACUGCUGCGAAAAAAAUAGGUCAAAACUGAACCAUUUUUUUUUACAUUUUAUUCACAAAUCAAUAAAUCGAAAGUGCUUACAAUAGUGUAAUCUUUUAAUAGAAUAUUAUACUUUUAAUUUUAAUGAUCAUAGUUCAACCCUUUGUAAUCUCAAAUACCAGAAAAAAAAAUAUUAAAAUUAAGUAAAUACAUUAAUUUAUUGGAAUACAAGGAUAAAGAAAAGUUAAUUAAAAAUCAACCAACCAUAAUUUUAUUAAACUAAAUAACAAAUUAAAGAAAAAAAAAAGAAAGAAAACAACUACAUAAUAAUUUUUUUUCUAAAAAGAAAAAUUAAAUCUUAGGAGUUAUUUGUCAUUGGUAACAUACUCCAAUAAUGAGAUGAUUUUCGACGACUGACUAUGGGACAAGGCAAAGAUGUUGUAACACUUCGAUCUUCCAAAUCAUAGACAUAAAGGUUUCUAUCUUCAUACUGAGUAUAGUAAAUAGAGUUUCUUCUUAUAUCAGAUUCUUUUGCUACUGAGUAACAUGAGCCGUAACAUUGAUCUGUGAGGAAAAUUACAUUAUUUCCAAUGCUUUUCACUUCAAUCCAUUCCGAUUUAUAGAAAUCAAACCUAAAAACUUCAAAGUAUGAAGCCCAUUCACACAAUCUUGGAGAGUAAAUCUUGCAAACAAGUAGCAUCUCUCCAAAAAACUCAACCAAAUAGUUUUUGCGUUGAAUGGUAAAAUUAAACAGUUUGGAUUCUGUUUGGACAGUUAAUUUUGUAAAUCGAAGACUUGAUCCUUCAAACUCGAUUGUAAGCAAACAAUAUUCUGAAGAAAUACAAUAAAUCUUUCCUCCAAAUGUUGUCACACUGAUCACAUCACUGUCUUCUAACUUUUGUUUUGAAAAUUCACAAUCAUCAAGAGAACAAAAUAUAAAUUCAUCCUCUACGAGAUUGAAGAAAAGGAUGCGACAAUUUGGAUCACUUGGAAGUGCCGUGAGAAUGCACGUAUCGAAUUUCUUAUUGAAAAGAGGAAGUUGAAUUGUCUCCAUCGAAAUGAGAUUUAAAAGAGAACAAUCAAAUGAGACAAGAUCCAAUAAUACUAACCAUCCAAAGGAAGAGCAACAUGCUUGUUUAUUAAGGAAUGAUUUUAGUGUAAUACCGAUAUUGUGAUAUGCUGAAAAAGGUUUGCCUUUGAUCAAACUCUCCAUGACAUAUAACAAGCCAAGGGUAAGGUUGAGAUAUGCGGGGAGGAAGAGAAUAUGGCGGUCGUUCAUUAUCAACCUCAAUUAUUGCUUCCAUGUUCAUAAAACCCAACUGGCAAGGUUUGUCCACUUGUUGCUCUUUGGAUGGUAUCAAAUCUUUGUUUUCCAUACUUACUGUGACAUUUACGAAAAAUGAGAAAUUAAUUAAUUUAUUUAUUUUUUACAAGGACAGCAAAAAUUGAGAAAUUAACAAAAAAGCCCUAAACCCUAAAAACCAUAAACCCUAAACUCUAAACCCAAAAUUAUACCAAGCAUAAACUUCUAAAGAAACAUAAAAACGAGAUAUAAGUUUUGUUUUCUUCUUUUAUUAAUUGAGAUGAAAGAAGAAUAACAUUAAUUCCACUUCCCAACAUUGUAAAUCAAGCACAAAAAAAAAAAGGGUUGAUAGUGAUCAUACCUAAUAAAUAAGAAGAUAUAUAAUAAAUAGCUUUUCUUCUUAAAAAUAGAAUAGCGUCAAUGUCUCCUUUGCUCUCUUAAUUAAUUCCACUCAUCAAUAUAAUAAAGAGCAGUAGCAGUAGGUAUUAUUAAUAUAUAUAUAUAUAUAUAUAUAAGGUUAUGUAAGUAUGUGAGGUUAUUAUUGGAAUUUUGACAGCUAAUUAGAAUUCUUUUUGGAUUUAAAUUUGUAAUUACUGUAGAAAUAAGUAUAACACUUUUGUCUCUAGCUAGCUCCUCUAGUUGAAAGAGAAUUCCCCUUUCCUUAUCUGUCAUCAACUGACUUAUGAGCUACCAAGGUUAGCCUUCUAUUCAUAGUAUUACUUUAAUGUCUACUUGCGAUGCUUACGUUAAAUUACCUACGGUAAUUUACUGAGUUAUAACAAUUAAUUACUUGUAAAUCCACGGUAAUAUAAGGAGUUCUAACAUAUAUACUUUAGUUUUUGUCCGAGGCUCCAAAUCCGUAGAUUCAGAAGGAGCCUUUCCACCUUUGAAAGAUGGGAAUCAACUCACAUCUGUCUUAGCUUUAUUAAUUGUAAGCUAAAGAUAUUCCUUUUCUUAUUAGGAUUAAUAUAAUUAUGAUUAACAUAACAAUUACAUUUAUUAGUUUUUUAAAUUAAUUAUUACAUUAGAACUUUUUGAAAUUAAUUAAUAACAGCAAAGUUUGAUAUUUAAAACUCCAAUAAGUGAACAGCUUCUUCCAGCAUUACCUGGCAGUUUAUUUGAACUCUCAUGGUAGAAACCUAUUCAGCCAAUUUCAUAACAUGUAUAAUACAAGAUCCAUUAUUUAGAGCAAAGUCUCACUAAGUCGGAAAAUUUGAUGCAGUACUUUGCCAAAGAAGUAUGGAGGAUGCUAAAAAUUCAAAGAACCACAUAGAUAAGAAUUUACAGUGAAGAGCAUGAGAUACAACAAUAUAUAACCAAGCUUCUUUGAAGCUAUAAGAAUUUAAUAGGUGAGACGGGCAAUAAAGAUGUCUAAUCUCCUGUCAUAUGAAUCCCAAAUUUUCUCAAACACGUGCAUUGACUUAUAGGGGUAGUUACAGUUUUUGAACUCUUCUUAGGUCCAACAUCGCUAUAGCACAGAAAUACUCAUACAUGACUGAAAUUCAUAAGGAAAUACAGCUUAAUACAGUUAAUGAUCUAUUUUAAACUUUUACAUUGGAAUUCUGGUGAAAAAUUGAUAUUAACAAACCAUCCAGAUCACAAACUUUCAAAUGUUCUUAAACUCACUUUAAGAGAUUUAGUCAAUAAGAUAUUAGUUCUCACAAAUAAUUUUCCACCUACUGUCGAGGGUGGAAUAUUCAAAGGUAGAAACUUAUUACAUAUUAGCUGGGCAUAUAUGAUGCAGCAUGUUAUAUGCAUGUUUGGCCUAUAUUUGCAGGGCUAAUGUAGAUAUACCAUUUCUGCAAUAAAUCAAUGAAUAAUUGCAAAAUAUUACCUGAUAGCCACUGGACUUUGGGUUAACAAUGAAAUCAUCAAAUUCACCGUCAAUUGGAGUCCAAAGCCUGCAGAGAAAGAUGGGUGAUGUGACUCAUAAUAGUUUCUUUUAAAAAAGAAAUUCAGCAUGUUUGAGAAGUAUGGCUUUAUGAAUUCUGGUAAAAUUGAGAACUUAUACAUUCCUAUUAAAUAAGGCUACCACAGGCCAAAGAAAUUAUCCACAAAAAUAAACCUAUAAAGAAAGUAAAAACAUCUAUUUUUGUUUCUUCUACUACACAUACUUUUCUAUAAAAUACGAUGCAUCAACUAAAAGUAAUUCCAAAAAUCCAUGCUAAAGAUUGAGAAGAUCUAUGAAAUGAACAGAAGAAACACUUUGAAAUACCUGCAUACAAUGUUGAGAAACUGUAGCAACAUUAAACUGCAGGACCAUUUAGGGUUCCGUUCUUGUCUCCAAAAACUACCCUCAGUGCACAUGCAUCAUAUAUUUUAUUGAUUCCAACAUCUUUCCUUUUCAUCUACAGCAAGAUAAGAACAAGAACUUCAUUAUCAGCAGGACAUUGUAAAGGCUUUCCCAACAAAAUAAAGGUCAGCUUGCUUGCUUAUUUUUUACUAAAAGAUUUUAGAAUCACAUUUUAAUUUUGGCUUGACUGAUAUUGCGUCUUCUAAAAGUCUAAGUUAAAUGCUUCAAGGAUACAAUGCAACAAAAGGAUUUUCAGUACAGAAAAUCUCUUAUAUGGAUCUGGCAUGUUGAUAAAUUUUCAGCCGUACAUUAGAAUUCAAGUUCAUGGUUGAUUCUUAGAUGUCUCUUUGAAACAUGUAGUGAAAUUAACUCUACUACAGCUGCAAGCUGCAGUUACAAAAUAAUCACUGUCGUAUACCUUCACAGUACUGUUAAUUAUGCAUGGAGACCAAGAAGAAUUUUGAACAAUGGCAAAGGAAGGGGCUUUGACUGCAUUUGGCUCUAACAACACGCACAAUUAUAAUAUUUUACAGCUAAGAAGCUAAGCAUCCAAAAGUUGAUACACAUACAUUAAUUGUUACUCAUACCUUGCUGUAGAUACCAUACAAAGUACAAGCAGUUUAAUCAGCUAGAUAAAGUAACCUCCAUCCCUGGAACAUAACUGCAGUGCAAAAGAGGAGAGGAUGAGAAAGCACCAACAAGAUGUGACCAAACUAACAAUAGUUGCUCUUACAAGUACAGGAGUUAAAACUAAUAAAUAAAACCAAAAUAGUUUUAAUAGAAAUAAGCAGCAGCAACUGAUUAUAAGUGAGCAAAACAUACGAAAUUGAUAUGAACGGCUCCCUCUCAAGUGCCUCCUUGCAAAGAAGAGAUGCCAGCACAAUUCCAGCAUCCUGCACAACCUUAAGUUUUGGUUCCAUCUCUGAACUUCUUCCAAGAUUAUCAAGAAAAUUGGUAUGUUUUCUCCGAUCCAAUAAGAUGUCAAAAUGAACCACUGCAUCCAAAAGAUCCUGCUUAUAUAAAACAACUGGAACUAAUUACUCAAAUUUAAGGUUUCUGUUGAAUACUACAUUUAAAACUUGUUUAUCUGCCUACUGACCCAAAAACCUCUAACCCUUUUGUUCUUCAGCAUACAUACUUCCAGAUAUGUGCACAUAUGUUGCCACAAUUAUUAUUACAUGGAUUAAAAAAGCUGGAAUUAUAUUUAGAGCUAAUCAGUGCAUCUAACUGAUAGGAAAUUAAGACUGUCUGGUACUCUUUUGAAAAGGAAAAUUCCUCAAAACUAAUCUCAUUUCAUAAUAUAAUAUAAUAUAAAAUAAUAAAGACUGUUUGGUACUCUCUUGAAAAGGAAAAUUCCUCAAAACUAAUCUCAUUUCAUAAUAUAAUAUAAUGAGAGUAGGGGGUGGAUCCUACUCAGUUAUGACCUUUUUAACUUGGAAUUUCUUUCAUUAUUGUCCUAUUAUUUUCAAGAAGGCUAAACCAUGAAAGCCAAUUUGCUUCUCGAAUUUUAUUUGAAGAAACAAAAGGCUUCAAAAAUAGUCAAGGAAGAGCAUGAACCACUUCAAAAUCUGACAGAAAUAACAGUAACUACAGAUUGCAACCAUCACAUGGUAUUUGACAUGCCUAGUUUGGAUAGAAAUUCAUUACACCAGAAUAAAACUCUUGCACUACAUUCAUUGACCAAAUGUCUUUUACUAAAGAAUUGAAGCAAGCUAUGUUGUUCAGUGGUCAAUAUGCACUCCUAUAUAAUUACAAUGUAAGUUAAGACAUCUUCCAAGAUCAUGUGUUGAAGGUGCCCAAUGACAGCAUAUUAGGUGAUUUUUUUAUUAACACUAUCCAAGGUUCACUAGGAAGAAAACUUGUAUUUAGUCUAUUAAAGGAAGGCUGAAGUGACCUGUCUUCCUGAAAUUUUUCAUCCCUUGUUAAUUUUCUGGCAGGAAGGCAGGAUUUCUCAACAUUAUUCAUUAAAACUUUCUGAUAUUAGCAAGUAGUCAUUAAAAUUGGCAAAAUCCUAAUACAUCAAAGCAACCCUCAAACCAACCAAAAAGAAUAUAACUAGAAUAUAGACACAGCACCAUUUGUCCGAUAUACUUACCUUUAUGAUAUUAAUAUCUUCAUCACUCAUAGAAGCUUCAUCUUCAUGCGCUGAAUUGUUUUCCUGUACAGAAGACCCCCUGGCUUUUGCAGAUAUUCGUCUGGGAUAUCCUCCUUUAUUUCUGGGGUUCCACAUUGAGGUCAGAUAAGCUCGUAGCUUCCUAAAUAUUUGAGGCUGCACCACUGCCCUCAAAAUUGAAACAAAUGUGGUUACAAAAUUUAUUUGAUAUACAUAAUCCAAAAGGAUUCACAUUUUUAGAAGUUAGAUGCUAUAAUACCUGCUGAGCAAAAGAAAAAGAAGCUAUUCUAUCUGUCAGAAAAGAAUUUUAAGUCAUGAAAUUGAUUACCAUAACACUAUGGCAUACGGUUCAAACAUAAUCAAACUUUGUCCCUUUUUUUCUCAUUCUAUAUCUUUGACCAUCUUAAACAUGCUAUAUGCAAUAUUUAUAUGCUUAAUGGCAAAUUCAUCCAAAGUGUGCAGAUAGCAUGGACCUAAAAGUCAAUGCAAAUUAUUGUUGUUCCUACAUGAAUCUAAAAGGUGAUAAAAGGUAUCUGAUGCAUAGCUAUCAAGAACUUUGUAACCACAGUUUCAUAUAGCAAAGCCCGAUUAUGAACAUAGAACCCAUACUCUAACUGACCUUAAACCAUAAGUGUUAGGAACCAGAUUUUAAGUAUUAAUUUUUUUGGCUACAUUUGCAAAAAGAGAAAUAUAUUUCUCAUUGAACAAAUCAGGUGAAAAUUCCACGAUUGAUGUCCCAAUUUAAAAACUCAUGCACAAUGUGUGUCCCACUUUCAGAUAAAUUAGUUUAGCUACACAAUUUAAAAAAAAAAAAAAAAAAAAAAAAAAAAAGACAAACAGAGAGAAAGAGAGCAGUUGCUCUAGCAUUUAGGGAUUAUGAGUAUAAUACCACGAAAAGCUCUAAUAUCAUAUUAAACAUCCAACCUAAAUCCUAUUGGCAAUUAGUUGAGAAGACAAAAUACACCCUAAACUUAACUAUAAUACCACUUAAAAAUAACAUUACCAAACUCAAUGGAUACAAGGUGCCUAAAUGAAAAAUGUGUCCCAAUCAAAUAGAGUUAAUAAAGCUCAAACUACAUGAUGAAUAAAGUAAAUGACAUAUGUAGCGUAAAAUCAUCAAGUACAACUAAUAUUAUUCAUGAUGUUAUGAUAUAUGCUAUUGCAACUUCCAUGACCUUGAAACACACUCCUUUACCUGAAGAACAGCAAAGCAAAGAUCUUUCAGCUCUGCUUUCAGUGCCCGCAGACCCAAUCUAGAAGCUAGGGAACACCAAAAAAGUAAGGUUUCUUGUGCAACAGCCUAAGCCUUAGCGAGGGGCAGGGCAUAACUGUAAAGAAUGAUCACCCCUUUGAGUGCAGUUCAUACAUCAAUACCAUAAAGAUUAACCUUCAAACCAUUGAACCAUAAAUUUUAAGAAUUAUAGCACCUCGGAUUUUGUUAUAAAUUUUUCAGAGCUUGACACACUGUGAAGUAAUCUGUCCUUAUACAUAUGUUCAAUGGAUGGAGAAAUACAGUAUGUCGAUAAUGCAAGAUUCCUAAACGGUUUAGAAAUUUAGAAUUUAAAAGAUACAAAUAAAGGGAUUAACAAUUUUUUCCAUUUCAAUGAAUAGUUAUGUGAUAUAUACAAGGAGUCCAAGGGGAGUAAUGACUCCAAACCUUGGACCUUGAGCCUCUUAUGGAGGGAUCAUAACAGCUAGGCCAAGCCUUGGUUUGUCUAUCCAAUGAAUUAAUGAAAAUUAAAAACAAACAGAAAUCUUGUUUUCUGCAUAUAUUAAUAAUCUAAUAGAAUAAAUUUUGAAGGCUUACAUGUUCUCAUGAUGUAAGAUAGCUGCCAGCCUUUGAUAAGCGCCACACGGGAUAUAAAAAUUCCCAAGAGCAUGACUCAAGAUAGUUUGCCUAAAAUAAUAAGAAAAGAAGGUGAAUUAGAACACAGACAGCUCUAAUCAGUGUUUUCACACACUUUACAACUAAACCUAAUUAAUUUAUUUAUCUAUCCCCCUAUAUUACAGUGUCCCACCCAUGCAGAUCUUUGAGAAAAUGUCAUUCUCACCACACAUAUGCAUUGAGAUAAAUCUUGAAGAUGACCACAAGAACAAGAAGAGUGCUUUGAACUAUAGAACUUGACAUGCCCUUAGGAAAGAAUCAACACAAUUGCUACCAAGACCCUUAUAUGAUAUCACAGUGAACCUUCGAUCCCAGCAAGAUGCAUUUUCUACAGUUCUGUUUUCCCUUUCCUUUACAUAUUAAAAUAACUUCUUGACCAAUCCAUUUUAAGUGUAAAACAAUACAGAUUUAAACAUUCACUGCAUGUCAGAGAAUGCACUCAAAACCAUUACAACUUACCUCCCAACCAGUAGCACUAAAAAGAAUUAAUCAUGCAUUGAAUAUGCUAUUUAGUUAUAUCAUAAGGAACCAUACAAUUGAUAUUUAGCUUAGCCUAUGUAAUGUGUACCCAUAUAAAUCAUGAAGUUUCACCUAUUGUUUAGCUUACGAAUCAGUUUCUAAAUUACAUCAACCACACUACAUUUUUUGUUGCAUGUAAAUUAUCUAACCAUGCACCUUUUCAUAACCAAGGGUACUCUGGUUAACAUUUAUCCUGCGAUGUUUCUGUAGAAACUACAAAACAAUAUAUUAGAUGAGUCACAUGACAACAUAAAUAUAGUGGGAGUGAUUAAAUAUCACUAUCAGAGGAUCCAAAACUAGAGCACAAUCAUGAAAAUGUAAAAAAAUAUUGUAAUAAACAGGCAUUCUAGCAUGCUAACAAGGGUAACAACACCAAAGAUGGCAAACAUGACACUAAGGUAGCAAGAAAACCAAUAAGAAGAAAGGGCAAGACUUUAUAAUUCAAACUUUCUACUUCUGACAGCAACAUCAUUAUGGUUUCCCUAUCAUUGCCAUCACUUUAUGAGACAAUAUUUUCCCAGACACACCAUAAUAGGUAUCAGAAGGAAAACCCUUUCUGUCUUUUUCUUGUUUUUAAUAAGGGAAAAGAAAUAAAUAAUGAUUACUUUCAAAACCCAAAUCAUAAGUUGUUUCUAGAUAUUUCACCGUAGUUCGAAAUUGAAAUAAAAAAAUCGAUAGGAAAAUAAACAUGCCUUAGUGAUGUUUAUGUUUUCUGGAGUUUUAAAUAUGGUGAAUGAGUUUAAUUACACGUAAUAGGAAUUUCUCGUGAAUGCCAUCUCCAAUUGCAGAAAUGAAAUAAUUUUCCAAAACUUCAUUCUUCAAUGCAAGAUGACUUAUAGCUGCAGAGUUGCUGGACCUUUUCCAGCUCAAUAAAAGAAUAUUUUAUUUAAAAAAAGAAAUUACAUGCUAUUUCCACCAACAUGAAACUUAUUUUCUUUACUUGUUCUGUUCUUUCUCCUUUAUUUUUUUCUAUUACAUUUUAAAACAUGCCCAAACAACCAACCGUGGAUUACACAACUGGAGUUAGCUUUCCCUAGACCAAGCACAUCACUAAUCACUAACGCAGGAAAAGGAGAAAGAAAAAACCCAUCCUCCUGAAAGGGCUACAAUACCAGUUAAGUAAAUUGCCGGUAUGCUUUCUGCUUACAAAUAUUUUUUUAAUGAAAAACCAAGAUUUAAGGAUGAGGACUCUACAGACAGAACCAAUUAAAAUGAAGACUUUACCUGAUUUAUAUAACUUAAUCUAGAAACACUAGCUACUGACCUGACCACCUCAUCACCAAACUCUGCUUCUAUGCUGAGCAAACUUUCACAUAUAUCAUCAACCAGAUCAUGCAGUAUCCCAGCCACAACUGUGUCAAUAGCUUGCACCAAACUUUAGGACCUUAGUUAGGGAAUUAACUGAAAGUGAAGCAAGUUUUUGAGCAACCUUGGCACUUUUGAGGGCUACCUUUUUUGGUAAUAAGAAGAAGAAUGCAAUUGACUGCGCAUAAUAUUACAAGAAAGUGAAUGGAUUAUUGAUUAGACAAAGCAAGCAGCAGGUUGUCAUUAUAAACUAUAAAGAGCAUAAAUUAUAGUCGUGCUCUUGCUAAUGAGGUAACAUCAAGAAUUAAUAAUUGAUGUAAGAGGGAGGAACACAAGGUUUCUAAUGAAAACUAUAUCCUUUUCAUUAUGCUUAACUAUUAUUCCAUAAUUUUGGGAUCAAAACCAGAGUCUUUUAGGCUCAAAAUACGUAAAUACACAAGCGUGAGAGGGAGAGCUUCCACUAAGAAAGAUGUUCUGAGUUUAGUUCUUACAUGGCAUGUUGCACAGGCUUCCAUGGCAUGGCAUGUCACAUCAACAUAUAGAAAGUUCUUAUUUUGUCCUGUUUGUGCCAUGUAAAUUCUAAUGUACUAAAGAUAAUGGAUUUUAAUAGUUUCCAUCAAAAUAAAGCACAAUUAAAAAAAUUAAUAAUAGAAGGAAAGGGGCUCAUUUAGAAAACUUGGAAAAGUACAAUUGCUUUUUUUUGGUAUUUUAGCCUAAAAGCUUUUGUAGUUCUAUGCACGUAAGAAAUAGAAAACUGAAAAGCAGUGCCUGCAAAAUAAAAUGAACAUCCAAAAAACCUAUACACCAACAAACAGGCUUGAAAACACGAAAUACAUUUAAAACGAAAAAGAUAACAUAGUAUGAGAUUAUGAGGAGGAUCUUAAUAGCCAGUCGUGAACAAAGCACACAUCUAGGAUUCCCCUAACCUAGAAUUGCAAAAAUAACUCCAAGUGGGUUGCCUAAAAUUGAAUGUAACAAAACAUUAUUUUUUCAAUCUAAAUUAUAAGAGCACAAAAUGAGGCAAAAACCGACAAAAGAAAAUGAUCCCAAAAAAAAAAAAGUAACAGAAAGGCACCUUGUUGCUCCUCCACUUUGGACCAUAAAAAGUCAACCUUAGUGAAGAGACAAGCUCCAGAGGCAAUAGCAAAGGCAAUAACAGCCACUUGGGAAAUGGCAGAAAUGACUGUCCCAUGGACAGUGGCACCAGAGCCAGAGGCAGCAGCAGCAGCGGCAGCAGCCAUGGUGUUACGGGAAGCAGAAACAGUGAAUUUCUUGGGCAUACACCUCAACUUAGAAGCAGUUUUGGGAUGGAAUUUGUGGAGAAAAAGAGGGGAAGUUUGGUGGGCAAGAAUCAUUUUCUUGGAAUGGAUAUGGGAUUGGCAUGAAGAAGAAGAAGAAUAGAGUGCACGUUAAGGAUUAAACAAAAAAAUAUAUAUCAAAUGUUUUACAUGGUUCUUUUGUUGUUGGGGGUAAAAUUGAGAUUGUAAAUGAUUUAAAGAAAAAGACUUAUUGAAUUAAAAAAAACAGUAUCGAUCAAAAUUAAUGAGUUAAAUUCAAGACAUUUCACUUAUUAAAUGCGUGCAGUAACUAAUUGAUCUAUAUGAGCUUCUUUUAUUAAAAUUUCUCUUUGUUGUUAAAAUUUUUAUUAAUUUAAAAAAAUUAAUGAGAUAUAAAAAUUUGUACCAAAAUUAAAAUAUUUUCUCCUUAACCAUUGGCACUUGUAACAUGAGAUUUUUACUAAAGUAAUUUUUAAUUAAUUUUUAAAAUUUUAUUCAUAAAACAUAUUUUACAGUGAUAUAUUUCUUUUCAAACUUUUUAAUGAGAUGAUGUUUUAUAAGAUAAAAAAAAGAGAAUUAUAUUCAUUUAUGCACUUUAUAAAAAAAUAACAACAUAGUAUGUUUUAUUGGUUUUUUAUUAUUUUUUUUGGUAUUGAAAUGCAGUUUCCUAUCAUAUAUAGUGUAUAGGGAGGUAGUUUCAAUAUUUCAACAUCGAUAUUAAAAAACUUAAUAAGUAAAUCAUUUGAUAAAAAAUAAAAACAACAAAUUAAAAGAUAUUUUUUGAAAGAAAAUUUUAUCAAUAUAUUAGAGAAUAUUUUUUAAAAUAAAUUAUUUUUUUUAAAUUAAAUUUUAAAUCUCCGAUAGUAGAACUAUUAAAAGCAUUGUAAAUAGUAAUAUUGAAGUAAAUCUUAAGUGAGAGGAUCUUUUCUAAAUUUUACCAAUAUAUUAAAAAUUUUGAAUGAAAAUUUUUUUAUACCAAAGUUCUAAACCUCAUUUUCAUAAAUAAAAGUUUUUAUAAGAAAAUCAAAAGAAUCCGAUAAUGGAAGCUUUUCAAAGUAAGACAUUAAUCUUCAUGAAUACUUUUAAGGUAAGAGAAUUAUCUUAAAUUGCUAUCAAACAUUGUAAUAAUUUUAUGAUUACUUUGCAAUAUUAAAUAUUUUGAUAAAUCAUAAAUAUAGUUAAGACUUGGAUAAUUUGAAAUUAAAUUAGAACCAUUUUUUGGAUGGACGUUGUAAGGGUGUUAUAACAUUUUUCAUACGUAAUCGUACUAUCGAACCUAAAAUAUGGUUUCGUAGACUAGACUCUGUUAUUUAAAGAUAUCUAAGUUAAUCUUGGGACUCCUUUUUAAAUGAAACAGAUUUAGUUAAGUGGCCAAUCACACCUAAAUAAAAUAAGAUUGGUGACGAUUUCUUUAAUUUAUGUCUAGAGAUAAGUCUACGGACUUAUACGUUACGAUAAUUUGACGACUCCACUGACGAAAUCGAGAGUCAGGCCAAUAAAUAAUUUCUUGUUAUCCAAGCCUUACCUAAUAAAUUUAAGAUUUUUUUCCUUAUUUGUAUUUUAUUUAUUUUUUUAUUUAUUCAUUGUAUAUAUUUAUCAUUCACAUACACAUGCAUAACAUGAGCUCUACACUGAGUUCUAUCCCUUAAGAGGGAAUAAAGUACCUAUGUCUUUGUGAGAUUUCGUGUUUUCGCAUGAGCAAGUGAAAAACUCCCACUCAAAUUGAAUCAUUUCCACUUGUAGCCUAUAAUUAGUGAAAAUUAGGGUGCCUUACUAGUCUAUAAUAGACAAUGAUGUAAGAAAUAAUUUGAGAACCCUUAGAUUGUCAAAUCUUUGAACCUAGUAUGUAAAUAAAUCUUAAGGGUUCGAACAUAAGUUAGAGUCAUGCCAUCCCUUAUGUUAGAAAAUCCUAAAUAGGACAUAUGAUGGGACAUUUAUUCUGUAUGUAAAUUUAUAUAUUUUCUUUGUAUUUGCAUGCUAACCCUUUAUGUUGUUUUUUGUGUAUAUUAUUCUUUGUAUAUAUCAUGUUUGUUAACCCUUUUCUUUUAUUAUAUAUGUAUGCAUUUACAUCAUUAAUUCUUCCUUAUUGAAUUCAUGCAUUUUUGUAUUCAACCUCAUGUAUAAUUGGAUAGUUCCAUAAACAUCACUCUAAAUAUGUACCCUAAUUAUGGUAAAUCAAGAUUCAAAGAUAGCUUAACUAACUCACCACCAGUAUAACACCUGAGUUAAUGGAGUAAGAAAAUGCAAGCUGCAUUGAGAACUUAGCAAAGGCUCAAUAAGAAAUCAAAAGGGAGUUGAACAAAAUCCUUGAAGAAUUAGCCAAGUUGAAUAAAAGAAAAACUAUAGAAAAAGAUGCUAAACCUAAUAACCAUCCGUUGCACGAUAUUAUUGAUCCUCUGUAUCCUGUCCACUUAAGGCAUUUUAUCAUAACAAUUCAUAUUUCUUACAAGGUUUACUUAUAUAAGAAUGCCAUAUGCAUAAAUUUAAGGGCAAUUUUAAAGUUUUGCUAAUCCUAUCUUUAUUGAAAAGGUAGUAGAGCUAGUCUCGAUCCUUAACUUAGAUGACCUUAAACAGAAUGAGAAGUUGAAAUUGAAGGUUGUUGAAAGUAUGAAAGAUUCUAAAAUUGAUUACAUGAUGAACAAUCACGAUGAAAGACUGUGAGCUAUGAAAGGCAUUGAUUUUUAUGAUUUUAUAGAUGUCGCUGGGCUUUAUCUAGUACCAAAUGUGAUGGUACCUCUAAAGUUUAAAGUACUUAACUUUGAGAAAUUUGAUGGUACCAAAUAUCUAAUCAAGCAUGUUACGAUGUACUAUCAUAAAAUGAUAGCCUACGUUAGUAAUGAGAGGUUAUUCAUACAUAUAUUCUAAGAUAGUUUAACUAGGUCUGUUGUAAGGUGAUAUGUUUAGUUGGACAAGAUUCGUACUUGAUCGUAGAAGCAUUUGACUCGCUCCUUCAUCAAUCAAUAUCGUCAUAUUAUAAAUAUGGCUCAUGAUCUUUUUUUUUUUACAAAGCACAGAGAAAAAUGUAAUAGAGUUUUCCAAAAAGUACACCUACCGGUGAAGGGAUAUGGCUUUUCAAGUUCAACCUCCUCUAACUGAGAAGGCAAUGAUAGUACUAUUUGUUAACUCUUUGAAAGCACCAUAUUAUAAGAAGAUGACAGGGAAUGCAAUAAAAAGUUUUACUAAUAUGGUGAUCUCAAAAAAAUUAUUAAAAAUAUCAUCAAGAGUGAUAAGUUUGAGGAAAGAGAAGCUAGCAGCAUUAAGAAAAGUGAGAUGCCUAAGAAAAAAGAAGAUAAAGCCCAAGCAAUGAGUUUUGAAAGGCAACAAUUCAAAGGUUAUACUCCAUAUCUACCACCUAUUUAUUUUGCUUACUAUUCUUCAAUCAAUAAUAUUGCACAACUUUUUACCAGCCUCAUUACCCAAUCAUGAAUAACAUCUACCCAAGCUUUUAUCAACUAGCCUUUCAAGCACCUGCAUAUGGGCCUAAUCUUAUCACUACAUCAAUUUCAAAACUUAAUAGUCAAGUAAGUGAUUUGGGGAGAUCCAAAGGCAACUAAAAGAGAGCAUGCAUUGAUUUUAUCUUUAUAACCUAUACUAAAUAAUUUCCAAAUUUGGACAAAAAUACUUAGUAUCCCCAAUUCUUUUAAAAUCAUUAAAGCUACCUUAUCCCAAAUGGUACAAUGUUAAUGUCAUAAGUGAUUAUCAUAAUAUGAAUGUGGGUUACUCUAUAGAAACUUGCCCUGCUUUCAAGUAUAAAAUACAAAGUUUGAUUCGAACAAUCCCUAUGAGCUUUAAUGAAUCAUGAGAACUGAAUGUUUACAAAGGCCCUUUUCCUGAUCACCCAGGGGUAUAAUUUUAGAAAAGCUUAUUGAAACUCGUUGUCUUUUUAGGAUUUUUUUAAAAUGAUGGACUUCUUUUUAUUAUACUUGAAUUUCAUUUUAUUUUUCAUCGUUUUAAUAAAAGUGGCAGAUAUGAUGCAUUUUCAUGACUUUUUUUUUGUGUGAAUCGUCAUUAUAAACUAUUUCUUUUUCAUAUCUUUUCCCUUGUUCAUUAUUUGAUACCAAAUAAUGAAUGUUCACAUAGUCAUAAGAAUAAUUCAAGAUUUGGUUUUUUAAAAUAUCAUUCAUGAUGAUGAUAUGAUUGAUAAAUUGAGGUUAUUGAUUUAUUGGGACUGUUGAAUAAAAAAAGAUAAAUUUGGUGAAGAAUUUCAUUUAUUGAGAGGUGAAAGUGAUGCAAUACAUGAUUUUUGAAAUAAUUUAUUCUUUACCUUUCACAAAAAGAAUAAAAUUAUCCUUUGCUUCCCUAUUUAAGCUUGUUAAAAUUUUCUUUCAAGGAACCUUAACCAAGGAUCAUCCCACAUUAGAAGCAAAGUUUAAGAAGCUUGAAAAGUUAAGAUCCUUAAUGAUUUUAGAGACAAAACCCUUUUAUGCUCAUCUUUCUAAAAAAAUGAUAAAAAGCACCUCAAAAAAAAGAUGAGAAAAAAGCAAAGAAGCAAAAAAAAAAAAAAAGAAGAGGGAACAAGAAAAAGAAAUUAAAAGGGUAAAAUAUUAAAAUGCUCUACAUGGAAAGAAAUGAUCAUUUGUUUGGUCACUCUUAAAAUACAUUUUAGGCUUAUUUUAUCAAUUUCUUUCUUGACCCUUUACUUUUACCUACGUCUCUGAAAAGUUUAUUUUAAUUGAAUAUGAAUACUCGAAUUGGCGAAUUAUGAAUUGAAUUAAUGUAGAUUUUCCAUUAGAUUGUUUAGGAUUUUGAUAAGAAGAAAAGAUAAAAAAAAAAAAACUUAAAAUGAAAACAAGAAAUGGUAGUUUAAGUAAAGAAAAAAAAAACUCAAGAAAACAGCUUUGUUAAAGGAUUCCAAGAAUAUGGAUGAUGAUUGGUUCAAAGAUUGAGAAUAUUGAUGGAAUGUAUUUUUGAGAAAAAACUUUAGGUUAGAGUUCAAGAUCCUCUGAACAAUCAUUAUUUUGGAUAUUCAUAUCCCAUUUAAAUAGCCAUAAUAUUUUGCUUUGUUUUUUAUUAGAUUUCCUUUUGAUAAUAAAUACUCAUUUUUCUUUUUUUUUUUUAUGAAGUUUGCAUCCUCUGAAUGAAUUGAGAAAAUGUAUCAUAUUUAUUAUAAAUUAGAAUGAUGAUAAAUAAGUGAAUAAUAAUGUCUGUAAAAUAUUUUUUUUUCAUUCUUUGGAAAGAAAUCUCAAAUGACAAAAGUGGAAGAAGCUUGACAAAAUGAUUUGAAAAGGACGAAUGAGGUAACCCAGUAAUUAAUACAAAUGAUGAAUUGAUCAACAUAAUCUGUAAGUUGUGACUAGAUGAGAAAAUGACAUAGAUCAGUUGAUAAAAUUUAUUUUGAAAUUAUUAAUGUUGGGAAACUAAGAAGGAAUAUAUGAAAUGGUGAAGUCUUAAGAAUCUUUUUACCAUAAUUGGAAUUUCAUGGCAUUGAUUUAGUGAUAUUUGCAUUACAUUUAUUGUGUUUACAUUGUAUUUAAAUAUUUGAUAAUUACAUUUGCAUCAUGCUUGGGGCAUGCAUUUGUAUUUUAUAGAAAACAUUUGAAUUAUAGUAUGACAUUUCUAUCAUUGUUUAAGACAUGCAUUUGCAUCAUUUGAUGAGAAUCUAGAUUGUUACAUUUACAACAUGUAGAAAACAUUUGCAUUAACAUUUAUUGCAUGCAAAAUUUGACUCUGAUUGGAGAUAAUUUUUUAUUUUUGAAUCUUUGAAAGAGAAAGAUCUUUCAUGAUAAGAUUUUUUUUUUUUUUACAAAGAAAAUUUUUUAGACUUUUUAAAUAUAUACCUUUUGUUUAAAAAAGCAUUUCAAAUAAGAAUCUUUGAAAUUAUAGAUGCUAAAAUUUUUUUUCAAAUAAGAAUCUUAAGGUGUGACGCCACAAAAAUUUUUUUUUUUAAAAAAAAAACCUUUUCGAACUUUGGUUGUGAAUCUUUAAUUUUUUGAAUGUGAAUCUUUGAAAUCAUUGGAUGUGAGUUUCUAAUUUUCUUUGAAAUCUUUGGAUGUAAAUCCUUAAAUUUUUUGAAUAAAAAUCUUUAACUUUUAAAUGUGAAUUUCUAAAAUUUUUUUAAUGUGAAAUUUUGAAAUUUUGGAUAUGAAUUUUUAAAUUUUUAAAGGGAAAAUCUUUAGCUUUUGGAUGUGAAACCCUAAACCUUGCAAAUGAGAAUCUUUGAAUUCUAACUAUGAACCUUGAAAUCUUUUAUGUAAAUCCAUGAAUUUUUUUAUGAAAUUUUAAAUCUUUUGAAUGUUAAUCUUUGAAUUUUAUUUGUGAAAUACAGUUUAUGAAUCCUUACAAAUUUGAAAUUCUUGCGAAUAUGAAGUUUUUAUGAAUCUUUCAUCUGAAGUUCUUGAAAACCUAAAAGUUUUGUGAUUUUUUUAUUUCUUGCGAAUCUUAAAUUCUUGUGAAUUUGAAAUCCUCGCGAAUCUAUCAAUUCUUGUUAAUUUGAAACUCUUACGAAUUCUUGUGAACCUAAAUCUUUUGAGAAUUUUUGUAACUCUUGUGAAACUUAAAUUCUUGCAAGCCUUAAAUUCUUGUGAGCUUUAGCAAGCCUUAAAUUCUUGUGAGUCUUAAAUUCUUAUGAAAUUGAAAUUCUUGUGAAACUUGGGCUCAAUUGGGAAGCUUUAAGCCCAAUAAAAAAAUUUUCAAUUUUAAUUUGAUUGGAUUUUAUUUAUUUAUUUAUUUAUUUAUUUUAAUUUUAUCUAUUUUUUUUUAAAAGUCAAAAGUCAAAGAAAAGUAAAAAAAAAACGAGAAAUAAGAAAAUGAGUGAUUUUAGCUUGAUUCAUACAAACCUUGUAAAAGAGAAAAUUUAAAAUCAAAUACAGAUUAUAAAAUGCAAUAAAAUCAUAAUCAAUUUAACUUAUUUUCCAAAUUAAAGGGAUUCAAUUUCUAUAAAUAAAUAAAAACCACACACAAAGAGGUGCAAGAAAAAAAAAUAAAAUUUCAAAAAUUUUAGGUUUCUAUUUUUUUAAUUUUGAAAAGGAAUUAUUCAAGCAAAUUUUGAGUUUUUUUUUGGGUUCUAUGGUUUUAUUCUGUUUUGAGUUUGAUUUGAUUUGCUUUUGGGUUUUUUAAAUUUGGGUUUUAAUUUUUAAGUUUGAUUUCAUAUUCUAUUAAGUUUCUAGGAUUUUUUAUGGGGUUUUCUGUUGGUUUUUGAUUCUAGGAUUUCUAUCAAGUUUUCAAGAAUUUGAAAACUUUUUUGGGUUUUUUUUAGAUAUAGGAUAAAUUUUCUAGUUAAAACUUAAAAUUUUAGCAUGGACUCAAUGACCUGCAUGAAGAUCCACACUUCAAGCCCAUAAUUUUAUCAUUAAAAACACAUUUCCUACCAAGUUAAUAACAGCUUAAAUAAAAGAAAACAUGCCAUCUUCAGAAGCUAAGAUAAAAAAUCCCAUUAUUGACAAUCAUGAGUUGUCUACCAUUGGCAACAUACUCCAAUAAUGAGAUGAUUCUUGAUGAUUGACAAUGAGGCAAGGUAAAUAUGUUGUAACAUUUUGAUCUUUCAAGUCAUAGAUAUAAAGGUCUCUAUCUUCACAUUGAGUAUAGUAAAUAGAGUUUCUCUUUAUAUUAGAUUCUUUAGCUACUAGGCACCAUGAGUUGUAACAUUUAUUUAUGAGAAAAUUUGUAUUAUUUCCAACAUUUUUCACCUCAACCCAUUCCCUUUCACAAAAAUCAAACCCAAAAUCUUCAAAAUAUAAAACUCAUUGUCACAAUGUUGGAGAGUAAAUCUUGCAAACAAGCAACAUCUCUUCAAACAUUCAAACCAAUAUGUUUUGUGUUGAAUGGUAAAGUUAAACAAUUUUGAUUCUUUUUUAUAGUCAAUUUUAUAAAUCGAAGACUUAUCCUUUAAACCAAAUUAUAAGCAAAAAAUAUUUUGAAGAAAUGCCAUAGUUUUUUGUCCAAAUGUUAUCAUACUGAUCACAAAUAUCGUGUUUCAACUUUUGUUUUGAAAACUCACAAUCAUCAAAAAAAUAAAAUAUAAAUUCAACAUCUACAAGAUUAAAGAAAAGAAUGUGGUAAUUUGGAUCACUUAGAGGUACUGUGAGAAUGUACAUGCCAAAUUUCAUAUUGAAAGAAGGUAGUUUCAUUGUCUCCAUCAAAGCAAGAUUUAGAAAAGAACAAUCGGAUAAGAUAAGAUUCAAUAACACUAACAAUCAAAAGGAAGAGCAACAUAUUUGUUUAUGGUGCAUCUCAGGAAUGAUUUUAGUGUAAUACAGAUGUUGUGAUACGCUGAAGAAAGUUUGCCUUCUUCCAAACUCUUCUUAAGAUAUAACAAGCCAACGGUAAGGUUGAGAUAUGAGGAGAAAAAGAGAAUACGAUGAUCGUUCAUCAUCAACCUCAGCUAUUGCUUCCAUGUUUACAACCCAAACUAUUUUCCUAUCUAAAAAUAUAAUGUUGUAUAUAUUAAAGCUCUUAGGUUAACUAAAUUAGAAGGAAAUAAAAUUUAGCAAAAAAACCUAAGAAAAAAAAGUAAAGAGACUCAUGUCUAAUGAAAAUUAAACUAGAACCAAUAAUAUAAUAUUAGUAGAAUGAUUUAGUUUUCUUACUUGUUCACAACAUACAAAUCCAAUUUAUAUCCUUUAACUUGUGAAUAUCUCCGAUUAAAGUAUCAAGUGAAUAAAACUUGAUAUUAGCUACUAAAAUCAAAUCAAUAUUCUAAAAAAAUAAAAUGUGGAGCCCCUUUAUCAAGUGGAGUCAAUGGAUAAAAAUAUUUAAAGUUAUCUACAAUAAUGAAGAAUUAAAGCAAGUUUACAUGAAACAAGAUUGGUGAUAAUCAACUAAGAUGCAUUAAUCUUUAAUAGUUGGUUAUUAAAAUAGAUAUAAAUAUUAGGUUAUAGGGAUUCAAAUUGAAGUUUUGCUUCUUGUUUGAUUAAACAAAGCUAUAAAAAAUAAUUUCAGCAUUGCAAAUCAAGCAGCAGUAUGCAUAAAAAAACUAAGGUCGAUAAUGAUCUUACCUAAUAAGUAAAAUGAUAUAUAAUAAAUCACUUUUUUUCUUGAAUACAAAAUACCUUCAGUCUCUCCUUUGUUCCCUUAAUUAAUUCCACUUAUCAAUAAAAAAAUAGAAUAUAUAUAAAAAAAUAUGUAUGUAUGUGAGGUUAUUAUUAGGUUUUUAGUAGCUAACUCAUUAGAAUUAUUUUCAGAUUUAGAUUUGAAAUUACAGUAACAAUAAGUAUUUAUUAAUUGUAAUUCAAAGAUACUCCUUUUUUCUAUUAGGAUUAAUAUGACUAUAAUUAAUAUUACAAUUAUAUUUAUUAGCUUUUGAAUUUAUUAUUACAUUAAAAGGAUCCUAUGAUUUAAAAAAAAAAAAAGAUGGGUGCAUUUAUCAUUGGGUUGCAUCUUUUGUCUUAUUCACUAUCAAAACCAUGUGUUUGAAUAACAAAUAAUCUUCUAUUUUAUUCUUAACUUGUUUCUAUCUUCUUCAGUCCCUAUUCCACUUUUAUUUCUUAUUUUGAUAAGCACUAAAAUUUAAAAAGACAUAAUCAAAUCUUUUGACCAACUUAAACUCCUAGCCAUCCCUAAACAUCUAUUUUGAUCUCUAUAGCCAUCUUCCCACUUUUUUAACUUCUUUCUAUCAUCUUUCUCCACAACAAUAAGGAAGCCAAGUAAAAAUAAAAAGAAGAGAUUCUUUUUAUGUAUAUUAGCAUAUUUAGCAUAUACCAUCAAUAGCUACUAGUAAGAGAAAAAAUAUGGUUCAAUAUAAAAGUACUUAUAAUUGAAACUUAUUUUAAAAAUAUAUAUAAAAAAACUUGUUGAUUCUAUCCUAAGAAACAAUUUAAGCCUGAGCUAACAACAUAAAAUCUAUAAGUUGUGAAGAUAUAUAGCAUUAACAGCUAAUUUAGACCAACAAAAAGGCUUCAUGUCUGUCAUAACGUCUAGAUUUGGGAUCUAUCGCUAGAUAUUGACUUUUAGGGAGUCGUCACCAAUUUUUUUUAUCUAGGUGCGAUUGACCACCUAAGAAAUCUGUUCUUUCAAGGAACACCUAAGUUUAAGGGUCCCUAAAAAAAUAGGUUCAGGUCUACUAACCAAAACAGAGUUCGGGAGUUCGGUUACGUGUGAGGAAGGUUAUAGCACCCUCACAACGCCCAUCAAAAGAUGGUACCAGCUUAAAUUUGUGUUAUCCAAUGAGCCUUAAAAUUUUAUCAAGUAAUUAAUUAUUAGAAAUUAUUCUCAAUUGACUUUAAUACUUUUAGCAAAAAAUUGAGAAAAUUCCCUUAUCUCAAGAAUAUGCAAGAAAACUACUGUUUCACUUGCAGAAGCUCCAUCGUCGGAUUAUUUAACAUAAACAAAAAAUAAAUAAAUAAAUAAAGGAAGAAAAGAAUGAUUGUUCUUGUGCAGGGAAAAUUGAUACUUUCAACUUUUCUCCAAAAAUAUUCUUUUGAAACUUUAAUUUCGAGGAAAAUUGAUACUUUCAACUUCUCCUCAAAAUUUUAUUUUUUGAAAAUUCAUUCUUAAGGAAAAUUGAUACUUUCAACUUUUCCUUAAAAAAACCUUUUUUUGAAAAUUAUUUUUAAGGAAAAUUUAUACUUUCAACUUUUUCUCAAAAAAACCUUUUUUUGAAAAUUUAUUUUUAAGAAAAAUUGAUACUUUCAACUUUUCCUCGAAAAAAAAAUCUUUUUUUUUGAAAAUUUAUUUUUAAGGAAAAUUGAUACUUUCAACUUUUCCAUCAAAAAUAUUUUUUGGAUUUUUAUUUAAAGAAAAUAGAAUAAUAAAACAAAAUAAAAGUGAAAAUAAAUAAAAAAAUAAUGAAAAGUAAAACAAAAAUAAAAAAUAAAAUAAAGAUAAAAGAAUAUUAAAUAAACCUAAUCUAAUAAAUAAAUAAAUAAACAAAUAAAAAAAAAACCUGGAGCGACUCGAAAAAUGGCUCGGUUCGGUUCUGCUCAAGAAAGAAAAACGGCUCGGAGAAGCGCCUCGGGAUGUCGGCUCGGCUCAGCUUACGGCUCGAGGAGGCAGAACACGCGCGGGUCAAGAAGCGGAUCGAUGCUCGGAUCGGGUCGGAUCUUGGCAAAACACGCGGAUCCUCUAGGUUAUUUAACGCAAAAACGGCAUUGUUUUGAGAAGGUAUAUAAGACUGUUUCCUUCGUUUUUCGACAGAAACCUUUUCCCCUCUCUCUCUCUUCCUUCUUUUUUCUCUCACUUUUCUCUAAAACGGUCGAAGAACUUCGAUUGAAUAUUCACCGGAUUCUGGAAUUUUUCACCGAAAUUUGGGUUUUUCGUCGGAAGUUCAUCGAAAAGUUGAUCAGUUUCUGGGAAUCUUCACCGGAAACUUCAAACUUGGUCGGAAUUAUCGUCGAAAAAUUUAACUUUCAUCGAAAAAAAUCACCGGAAUCUGGAAAAUUUCCAGAAAUUUCCAGCAAAAAAUUUCGCCAAAAAUCGCCAAAAUUUUUUUUUCAAUUCCUACAGCUGUUCUAACACUUCCAAACCUUUUCUUAGCCCUCUAUACGUCUUUUUUUUCUCAACCAAUAGCUUCUUUGCUCACUAUUUUUUUGUGUUCUGUUCUGUUCCUGAGGAUCCCUUUUAUAGGGAUUGAUUAAAAGAGUUUCUGAUCAAUCUCAAUUCCUCUUUGGAUCGAAAUUCAAUCAUUGAAUCCAACAUGGACUCUUCUGAUUGAAUCCCAAUCCAAUUUCCAGCCAGAUAAAUAAAAAAAAAUCAAAUGAAAAUAAAUCAGAUAAAUCAAAAAAAUUAACAGAUAAAUUAAAAUUAAAUAACAGAUAAUACAUAAUCUGAUAUACAUAAAUAUUAACAGAAAAAAAAAGAAGAAAAAAAAGAAUAAAGAUAUAUACAUAUUAAUAAAUACAUAAAUACCUAAGAUAAAAAAAUAAAAGAAAAAAAUAUAUAAAUAAUAAUAAAAAUAAAAUAGAAAUAAAAUAAAAAUGUAAAAUAAUAAAAAUAAAAUGAAGAAAAAAAGAACAUAGACUUACCUAUUUGGACCAGGCCCAAUUAAUCCGGGCCUGGACCAAAUUGGGUGUCUACAGCUGCCCAUCUUUACACAUUUUUUGUGAAACAGAAAUUGUGCAAAGACGUAGACACCCAAUCAAGACUCAACUCGAUCUUUUUACUUUUUAUUUUUUUUUGUUUUUGAUCAAAGCUCCUCUAGGCAGAGGCUCGAUGAUUUUAAGAAACAUAAAUGGCUCCUCUAAUCAGAGGCUCAACAACUUUGGAAAAAUAAAUUGCUCCUCUAAAUAGAGGCACCAUGACUUUUGAAAAAUAAAUUGCUCCUCUAAACAGAGGCACCACGACUUUGAAAAGUAAAUUGCUCUUCUAAACAAAGGCAACACGACUUUGAAAAUGUAAAUUGCUCAUUGAUGAUUAUGUCCAAAGGAGUUGAAAGUUGUGUUUGAGUGAAUUUCAGGAGAUUAUGCCCAAAGGUUUUAUAAAUCAACCCUGAUGCCAAAAGACAUCCUAUUUCAAGGAUUAGGAACUUACCUGACAAGUUUCUUUCAAUUUUAAAAAUACCUUCACAUCUAUCUUCUCUAUGUGGAAUCUUAGAACACUCCUGCUUCUUGAAUUUAUACACUAUACUUUUCUGAAAGUAGUGUAUGCUAUGCAAUGCAUAUGAAUUUCAAUGCAUGCUAUGCAAAUGUUGGCCAAUUAAUUCCUUUUCAAUGUAUGGUACUCAAAUUUCUCAAGCUUUUUUCUUGGGCAUCAAGCACUUUGAUUCUUCAAAGAUCCAAUUACACUGCUCUUCUAAGAUCGAGCUCGUGUAGCUCUUAAUUGUCUCUUCCACUCACAUUCUUUCUGUAAGAAAUCUCUUCUCAAAUUCAAUGUCCUAAUCAGGAACUAAACAUCUUGAUUCUACCUUUAUUACUCUUGACGUAUUCAAUGCAAUGUAAAAAUUUUUUCAUGUUGUUAUUCAUUCAUCAAUCAUUAUUUCAAACUCAAAAAAUAAGAAUGCAUUUGCACAUUUCUUCCAUGAUGGGGUAUUAAGAAGAAAAAAAUCUGAAUGGUUGAGAAACAGUCAUCAGAAAAAGACAUAAAGAAUGAAAUAGAAUGUCUCUUAUUAGCAAAAUGUUAGCUAAUUUCAGCCAAGAGAGAAUUACAAGGAUAAGUAUAGGACAAAGCCCAAAAUGAACAAUCAGAUAAUCAUGAUAACACAUCUCAAAGUUUUUUCUGAAAACCCAACCCUCUGAUGUAUUUAACAACUUGGAACUCUUUCGAAUUUACUAGUCUCCAUAUCAGCGGACUUUUAAAUUCGAUGUUGUAUUCUCUUUAUCUAAGCUGCCUUUUCAGGUUUUCAACUUAGACAAACCCCCUAUGACUCAAAUCGCCCUUUUAGGGUUUUUACCUUGAGUCCUCUUUUUUCAUUCACUUUUUUCUUUUUUUUUCUUUUUUUUCUUUUUUUUUUUUUUUUUUUAUUUUUUCAUUUUUUUCAAGCAUAGUAUUUUUUCACAACAUCAGAAUUUAUAGGAUGGGGUAAAUCAUUUCCAUCAAUCUCAGUUAGUAUCAGCGCUCCACCCAAAAAAGCCCGUUUCACCACAUACGAUCCUUCCUAAUUCGGAGUCCAUUUUCCUAUACUAUCGUGCUGGAUUGGAAGAAUUCUUUUGAAGACCAACUCUCCUUUUUGAAAGCAACGGGGUCGAAUCUUCUUAUCAUGAGCCCUCAUCAUUCUUCUUUGAUAUAGCUGCCCAUGGUACAGUGCAAUCAAUCUCUUUUCUUCUAUGAAAUUUAACUGCUCAUAACGUUCUCGAAUCCAUUCAGCUUCUUCCAACUCAACUUAUUUUAGAACUCUUAAGGAAGAGAUCUCUACUUCCACUGGUAGUACAGCUUUCAUUCCAUAAACCAAAAAAAAUGGGAUUGCCCCAGUAGAGGUGUGAACUGACGUUCGAUAUACAUGCAAUGCAAAUGGUAACUUCUCAUGCCAAUCUUUGUAAGUCUCGAUCAUUUUUUCCAAAAUCCUUUUUAUGUUCUUAUUGGUUACCUCAACUGCCCCAUUCAUUUUCGGACGAUAUGGUGUCGAGUUAUGAUGCUUGAUCUUGUAUUGAGUACAUAUUUCUUGCAUCAUCUUACUAUUUAGAUUAUUGGCAUUGUCUGAAAUAAUUCUCUCUGAAAGUUCAUAUCUAUAAAUGAUCUCUUUUUUUAUGAACUUACAAACCACAGAGCGUGUCACACUUGCAUAUGAUGCUGUCUCUACCCAUUUUGUGAAGUAAUCUAUCAUCACAAAAAUGAAUCUGUGCCCGUUAGAAGCCUUUGGGGUGAUUGGACCAAUGACAUCCAUGCCCCACAUUGAGAAUGGCCAUAGUGGUGCUAAACAUGUAAAGCAGAUGGCGAAGCAUGGAUCUUAUCAGCAUAUAUCUGGCAUUUAUGGCAUUUACGAGCAUAGUUAAUGCAAUCAUUCUCCAUCAUCAACCAGUAAUAUCCUGUUCUCAUGAUCUGUCUCGCCAUUAUAUGUCCACUAGUAUGUGCCUCAUAUAUUCUAUCAUACACCUCUUCAAUGAUUCUCUUCACUUCAAUCUUAUUUACGCACCUCAAUAAUACUUGAUCCUUACUUUUUUCGUACAGGACAUCCCCAUCCAGGAAAAAGCUCAUAGCCAAUCUUCGGAUGACCCUUUUAUCAUUUUUUGUUACUUAAACUGGGUACUGCUGAUCCUUAAUAUACUGUAGAAUGUCAUAAUAUCAGGGUUUUCCAUCUUCUUCUCUCUCUACAUUAGAGCAAUAAGCUGGUAUAUUCUUAACAUCUAACUUGAUGGCUUGAAUGUCGGUAUUAUCAUUAAUUCGAAUCAUUGUAGCCAGAGUGGCCAAUACGUCAGCAAUUAAAUUUUUUUCUCGAGGUAAGUGGUCAAACUAGAUAUCUUUAAAUUGUUUCAUUAACUCUAGAAUAUACUUAUGAUAUGAAACGAGUUUUGAAUCUCUCGUUUCCCAUUCUCCUUUCAACUGAUAUAUAACUAAGGUUGAGUCUCCAAACACUUUUAGUACUUUCAUUUUUUUAUCUAUAGCAGCUUGUAAGCUCAUGACACAUGUCUCAUAUUCAGCGAUGUUAUUUGUGUAAUUAAAAUUUAAUCUUGCUGUUACAGGGCAGUAUUGUUCUUCUGAAGAGAUCAAAAUUGCCUCAAUUUCAUUCCCCAAGGCAUUAACAGCUCCAUCAAAGUACAUUCUCCAACAUUUUUCUCCAUGCCCCCUUCCUCUAGUUGGGAAAUAGUCAUUAGGUCUUCAUCAGAGAAUUCCAACUUCAUCGACUCAUAUUCUUCAGUAGCACGAUCUGCAAGAAAUUCUGUUAUAGCGCCCCCCUUUUAUUGCUUUUUGGCUCACGUAUAUAAUAUCAUAUUUCGAGAGCAUUACUUGCCAUCUAGCGAUUUUUUCAGAUAAAGAAGGCUUCUCGAAGAUAUACUUAAUGGGAUCCAGUUUCGCUAUGAGCCACGUAGUAUGAUAGAACAUAUACUGUCUGAGUCUUUUGGCAGUCCACGCUAAUGCACAACACAUUUUCUUUAAUGAAAAAUACUUGGAUUCAUAUUCCGUCAACUUUUUACUUAGAUAGUAAAUAGCUCUCUCCUUUUGGCUAGCCUCGUCUUGCUGCCCCAGCACACAUCCCAUUAAAUUUUUACAUACAGUUAAGUAUAAGAUUAAAGAUUUUCCUGGAACAGGUGGCACCAAUACUUGAGGGUUUAAUAAAUAUUGCUUAAUUUUAUCAAAUGCCUCUUAACAUUCUUCAUUCCAUUUCUCAGGAUUAUUCUUACGGAGAAGCUUAAAUAUGAGAUCACAUUUGUAAGUAAGCUGAGAGAUAAAUCGAGAAAUGUAGUUCAAUCUCCCCAGAAAACCUCAAACUUUCUUUGGUGUACUGGGAGGUGACAGAUUUUGAAUGGCCCGUAUCUUAUCAGAAUCGACUUCAAUUCUUCUUUCACUGACCAUAAAGCCUAGCAACUUCCUUGACUUUACCCCAAAAGUGCACUUGGCUGGGUUUAAUUUGAGCUGAAAUUUUCUCAACCUCUCAAAUAACUUUCUGAGGCUGGUGACAUGAUUUUCAUCCUCACAAGACUUUGCAAUCAGAUCGUCUACAUAUACUUCGAUCUCUUUGUGUAUCAUGUCUUAGAAGAGUGUUACCAUGACCCUUUGAUAUGUUGCCCUAGCAUUCUUUAACCCAAAAGGCAUGACUUUGUAGCAAAAAAUUUCCCACAUGGUCACAAAAGUAAUCUUUUUCAUAUCAUCUGCAGCCAUUUUUAUCUGAUUAUACCCCGAGAAACCAUCCAUAAAGGAGAAAAUCGAAUGCUUAGCCGUGUUAUCUACCAGUGUGUCGAUAUGAGGUAAAAAAAAAGUUAUCCUUUGGGCUAGCCUUAUUCAAGUCCCGAUAGUCUACACACAUUCAUACUUUUUCAUCUUUCUUAGGAACUGGGAUUAUAUUGGCUACCCAUUAUGGAUACUUAGCCACUUGUAAAAAACCUGCAUCAAAUUGUUUCUUUACUUCUUCUUUAAUCUUCAGUAGCAUUUCGGGCUUCAUCCGUCUCAGUUUCUGCUAAACUGGCUUACAUUCUGGCUUUAGAAGCAAUCUGUGCUCCACUAUCUCUGUGCUCAGCCCUGACAUAUCCUAGUAAGACCAAGCAAAUAUAUCUACAAAUUCUCGAAGUAGGUCUGCCAAUCGUUGCCUAUCUCUAAAUGAAAGUGAAGUGCCCUUCUGACCUCUUUCUUAUUCUCUUCAUCUCUCAGAUUCACUAAGUCAACUACCUCCUGAUGAGGCUCAAUUGACUUAUUUUCUUGUUCGAUCAUCCUCAUUAGGUCCGGAUGCAUAACAUAUUUUUCAAAAUUCUUUUCAUUGUCAAGUUCAUCAGUGUUAAUUGAAUUCUCAAAGCUAACCUCUUGAUUGUUAUCAUGAUUAUCUUCAUGUUCAUUUAAAGACUUAAAAUUGAAUGAAAUGGGAUAUGUUGGCAAGAUGUGCUUGGAGAGAUGGAAAUAAUGAAGACAUAAGAAGAAAUGAAUGAAAAUGCAUCCUUUCUAUUUUUUAUUAAAAAUAAUAAAAGACAAAUAGCCCAAACAAAAAAGAUCACCCCAAUGCCUUGGACAAUAGCUAUUGGGAUGUUACAAUUACAUUGUUUUAGUCUCAAAAGUCAUAGGCAUCUCGAUAGCACUUCAAUUAUUCAGCUCAUAAUCUGGUGGACAAAGGCAAACCCACUCCUCUUGAUUAUGCCCCACUUCAUCUUCACUUAUAGCAUUCACAUUAUGAUUCGAUAAAAGAUUUCCACUAACAUUUGGUGCAGUCACCCCUCCCGUAUCAAAACAAAUCAUCCUAUCUUUGAUCAACCAUUGCACUUUGUGUUUCAGAGUGGUGUAAUUUUCGGUGGAGUGACCAGUAAUUCCAUAAUGGUAGUCACAGUGGGCUGUGAGAUCGUACCACUUGGGGUAAGGUGGCUUGAGGGGUUCCAAUUUACUUGGAGCAAUCAAAUGACUGUUGUAAAGCUCCUUAUAUAAUUCUAUUUAAGACAAUGAAAUUGGAUCAAACACAGGUUUCUCACGGGUAGUUCAUUGUUCCUGCCAUCCAUCAAUGGGGUUAGUUGGACGACUUUGGGGUCUUGGGGUAGGCUGAUUAUUAGGAUUGUACAUGAUAUUUUGAGGCUUAUGAGGGGUUUGAUAUGUUUGGAGGUACGGUGAUUGUACAAAUGGUUGGUAUGGGUGAGGAAAAGUGUUAUUUAUAGUAGGGUAAUAUGGUAGAUAUUCUGGUGGUGAGUAGGGUUGAUAACCUCCAAAUUACUGUCUAUCAAAGCUCACAGCCUGAGCUUCAGUUUCUUUCUUCUUCGGGACUCUCUUGCUAGAUGCUUUAUUUCCUUCUAGCUUAUCAUUCUUGAUGACACUCUCAAUAAUCUCUCAUGAGAUUACCAUAUUAGUAAAGUUUUUUGUUGCAUUUCCUAUCAUCUUUUCAUAAUAGGGAGGUUUUAAAGUGCUAAAAAAUAGCACUGUGGUCUCUUUCUCAGUCAGUAGAGGUUGUACUUGUGAAGCUAUAUCUCUCCAUCUCUGAGCGUAUUCUUUAAAAGACUCAUUUGCCUUUUUCUCAAGGUUCUGUAAAAACAGACGAUCAGGAGCCAAAUCGAUAAUGUGUCGAUAUUGACUGAUGAAGUCGUGAGCCAUAUCACUCCAAGAGCGAAUGUGGGUCCUAUCCAGCUGAACAUACCACCUAGCAACAGAGCCAGUAAGGCUAUCUUGGAAAACAUACAUCAAGAGUUUUUCAUCAUGAGCAUGGGUUACCAUCUUCCUACAAUACAUAGUAAUGUGGGUUUUGGGGCACUUCGUACCACCAUAUUUUUCAAAUUUUGGUACUUUGAAUUUAUGAGGAAUGAUCACAUUAGGGACUAAAUAAAGCCCAGCAGCAUCAACUGAACCAUAGAAACUAAAUCCUUCCACAGCCCGUAGCCUUUGUUCUAGCAUACUAAUCUUAGAGCUAUCUUGAGUUUUCACUCUUAUCUUUUUCUUUCUCUUUCUCUUUCAAAUCAUCUAGAUCAAGAAUUGGUUCUACUACCUUUUCAGUGAAGAUAGGAUUUACAUAGUUAUUAUACUGCCCUGGGUUGGAAGCUGAUGGCAUUCCAGGAUAUGUUAGAUAUGCGAAGUGUUGUGGCGGAACCUCUUGUGCAUACUGGGCUUGAGGUGGGCCAAAACCUGGAGGGUACAAAGGGUCAGCCACUUCUUGCAAUGGGGGAACUUGUUGGCUUGUAUUUUCUUUAACUCUUUUUCUCUUAUUCAUCUUAUUGAGAGCAUCCAAAAUUUUACUCAACUCACUUUCAAUCUUUUCUUGUGCUUUUUCUAUCUUUUCAAAUCUGUGAGAGUUUUUCUGCUCCAUUUGUCUUGCUCUGGAUCUUGUGUUGUAUCGAUGGGCAGGGUUCUCACUAGAUGAAGUUAUCCUUGAACCUUGAGUACCAUGUCUUAGAAUUAGUAAAUUUGCAUGACUAUCACAUGGUUACUUUAUGAAUGAGAAUGCAAUGAAUGAAAAAUGCAUGUAUGCAAAGAACAUUUACCUUAAAAACGGUAUUCAACUAAAAGAUUUCAUUUAUUCCAAAAAAACUUUUAUCUACAUUGAUUUUAUCAUUCUAGAAUUAUAGCCAUAAAAUUGUUUGAUCUGUUCAUACUGGGCCUUGGCUUCUUCGAUGAAGUACUUCGUUGGGUGUCCUACAAGGUGCUAAUACGGAUGAAGAACAAACUAGUCAUUCAGUGGAGUCCACGUAAAAAAAAUUUGUUGAAGAUCGUUUUUCAAGCAAAUGUUCUUUAUGCAACUUUAUGAUAUGCAUAUGAACCAAUGCAAAAGAAUAAGAAAAAGGUUAGUAUACCCAGAAAAAGAAUAAAUAAAUAACUAAGUAAAUUUAAACAUCACACAGAGUAAAAGGAAUGAAUCAUAUGCUUUUGGUCAAUUCUAAAAGGGAAGAGUGACUGCUUUAUCUAUAGGUUAAGCACACUUAAGGUUCACUAUAUGCGGUUUUAAGGUCAAAGCCUAAAGGUCCUCAAAUUGUUCCUUACAUCCCUGUCCAUCACAGACUAGUAAGGCACCCUAAUCCUCAUCCAUUACAGGCUACAAGUGAAAAAGGUUCAGUUUGAGUGGGAGUAUUUCGGUAGCCACUGCGAAGGCAUUAGACCUCACGAAAGCAAUAGGUACUUUACUCCCUCCUAGAGGGAGGAGUUCGGGUAUAGAGCUCAUGUUAUGCACAUGCAUAUGAAUGACAUAAUUAACAAAGUAAAUAAACAUGAAUGAAUAAUAACACAUAUAUACAACAAGGUUCAAUUUUAUUAGGCUUUUGGAUAACACAAAUUAUUUGCUGGCCUGACUCUCAGAGUCCCUAGUCGAGUCGCCAAGCUGUCAUAACGUCUAGAUCCGGGGAUCUAUCGCUAGACAUUGACUUUUAGGGAGUCGUCACCAAUCUUUUUUAUCUAGGUGCGAUUGGCUACCUAAGAAAUAUGUUCUUUCAGGGAACACCUAAGUUUAAGGAUCCCUAAAAGAAUAGGUUCAGGUCUACUAACCAGAACAGAGUUCGGGAGUUCGGUUACGUAUGAGAAAGGUUAUAGCACCCUUACAAUGCCCAUCAGAAGAUGCUACCAGCUUAAAUUUAUGUUAUCCAAUGAGCUUUAAAAUUUUACCAAGUAAUUAAUUAUUGGAAAUUAUUCUCAAUUGACUCUAAUACUUUUAGCAGAAAUUGAGAAAAUUUCCUUACCUCAGGAGUAUGCAAGAAAACUACUGUUUCACUUGCAGAGGCUCCAUCGUCGGAUUAUUUAACAUAAACAAAAAAUAAAUAAAUAAAAAAAGGAAGAAAAGAAUGAUUGUUCUUGUGCAGGGAAAAUUGAUACUUUCAACUUUUCUCCAAAAAUAUUCUUUUGAAACUUUAAUUUCGAGAAAAAUUGAUACUUUCAACUUCUCCUCAAAAAUUUAUUUUUUGAAAAUUUAUUCUUAAGGAAAAUUGAUACUUUCAACUUUUCUCCAAAAAUAUUCUUUGGAAACUUUUAUUUUCGAGGAAAAUUGAUCCUUUCAACUUUUCCUUAAAAAAACUUUUUUUUGAAAAUUUAUUUUUAAGGAAAAUUGAUACUUUCAACUUUUCCUCGAAAAAAAAAUUUUUUUUUUGAAAAUUUAUUUUUAAGGAAAAUUGAUUCUUUCAAUUUUUCCCCAAAAAUAUUUUUUGGAUUUUUAUUUAAAGAAAAUAGAAUAAUAAAACAAAAUAGAAGUGAAAAUAAAUAAAAAUAAUAAUAAAAAAAAUAAUGAAAAGUAAAACAAAAAUAAAAAAUAAAAUAAAGAUAAAAGAAUAUUAAAUAAACCUAAUGUAAUAAAUAAAAUUAAUAAAUUAAUAAAAAAAUAAAAAAAAAACUUGGAGCGGCUCGAAAAACGGCUCGGCUCGGCUCGACUCAAGAAAGAAAAACGGCUCGGAGAAGCGGCUUAGGACGUCGGCUCGGCUCAGCUCACGGCUCGGGGAGGCAGAACAUGCGUGGGUCAAGAAGCGGGUCGACGCUCGGGUCGGGUCGAAUCUUGACAAAACGCGCGGAUCCUCUGGGUUAUUUAACGCAAAAUUGACGUCGUUUUGGGAGGGUAUAUAAGACUGUUUUCUUCGUUUUUUAGCAAAAACCUUCUCCCCCCCUCUCUCUUUUCCUUCUUUUUUCUCUCGUUUCUCUCUAAAACGAUCGAAGAACUCCGGUUGAAUAUUCACCGGAUUCUGAAAUUUUUCACCGAAAUUUGAGUUUUUCGUCGGAAGUUCACCGAAAAGUUGGUCGGUUUCUGGGAAUCUUCACCGAAAACUGGAUAGCUGGCCAAAAACUUCAAACUUGGUCGAAAUUAUCGUCGAAAAAUUCAACUUUCGUCGAAAAAAAUCAUGGAAAUCUAGAAAUUUUCCAAAAAUUUCCAAAAAUAAAUUUCGUCAAAAAUCUCCAGAAAUUUUUUUUCGAUUCCUACAGUUGUUCUAACACUUCUAAACCUUUUCUUAGCCUUCUAUACGCCUUUUUUCUCUCAACCAGUAGCUUCUUUGCUCACUGUUUUUUGUGUUCUGUUCUGUUCCUGAGGAUCCCUUUUAUAGGGAUAGAUAAGAAGAGUUUUUGAUCAAUCACAAUUUCUCUUUGGAUCGGGAUUCAAUCAUUGAAUCCAACAUGGACUCUUCUGAUUGAAUCCCAAUCCAAUUUUCAGCCAGAUAAAUAAAAAAAAUAAAAUGAAAAUAAAUCAGAUAAAUCAAAAAAAAAUUAAUAGAUAAAUUAAAAUUAAAUAACAGAUAAUACAUAAUCUGAUAUACAUAAAUAUUAACAGAAAAAAAGAAGAAAAUAAUAAUAAUAAUAAUAAAGAUAUAUACAUAUUAAUAAAUACAUAAGUACCUAAGAUAAAAAAAUAAAUGAAAAAUAUAUAUAUAAAUAAUAAUAAAAAUAAAAAUAAAAUAAAAAUGUAAAAUAAUAAAAAUAAAAAUAAAAAUAAAAUGAAGAAAAAAAGAACAUAGACUUACCUAUUUGGACCAGGCCCAAUUGAUCCGGGCCUGGACCAAAUUGGGUGUCUACAAUGUCUUAAACAAUAAAAUUAAAAUACAAGAUUUAACAAUAAGGGCAUUGGAGGUUCAUUUUUUAUAUUUGUAAAGUGAGAUUGUAGGAAAAAAUGAAAAGUUAUAGAUGUGCGUGCAAUUUAAAAGAAUACAUACAGUUCAUAGUUAAAGUUAAGUAACAAAAAAGUCUAUAUCAAAUAAUUAAAUGUAAUAUAAGAUUUGACAACAAAAACUAACAAAUGUCAAUUUUAUGUAAAGUACAAACAAACUAAUAUUAAUUCUUGAAAACAACCCAAGCAUUCUUAAGAGGCCGAGAAAAACUUGAGCUCUCAUUAAUGAAUUCAAACCCUUUCAUUGAACAAAAUUCUUUAAGGUAUGUUGAUUGAUUAUAUAUGUUUAGUCUAUAUAUUAUGCGUUUAAUCAAAAAUUAAUUCUAUUGAAAAUAAUCUACCUUUCAAUUUCACUAUCCUAUCGCAUUAAUGUCACUAUAUGAUAACUAAAAUCAUUUUAAUAAAUAUCAUGUAAUAUAAAAUAGAAAGUAGAAACAUAUGUUUACAAAAAAAAAAAAAAGUUAGUAGUAGAAACAUAUUGUCCCAUUGGAUUUUGAAUCUCUCAGUUAUAUGAGAAGUCAAUAAUUUUUAUUUAGUGAAUGAUAAAAAAUGUCUGAAUUAAUAUUGAAAUGUCAAGUAUAUUGCUCAAAUGUAACAUAGAAAUUAGAAUAAAAAUGAGUGACCCAUUGCUUGUGCAUGAUUUUAGCAAAAAAAUAAUAUUCGAGGUCAAGUCAGAUGGCAUUACAAAAGGUAGUUGACAUAAAAAUAUUAAACUAUGUAUCUUGUGGCUCUAGAUAAUGAAUAAUCCCAUAGAGAUAUCAUUUAAUUCACUAUGGAUAUCUUCUUAGUUUUUGGAACUAAUUUACUUGCAUGUAUCUACUUAUGCUUACAUCAAAACUAUUCAAUUUGAAAUGUAAAUUAUCAUCAGUAAGGCUUGAUUAUAAGAUUAUAAUAUUUGUACUUCUUGACCAAUAAGUAAUUUACAAUUUACCUAAAAAAUAAAUAAUGAGUUGUAAAGUAAUUAAUUAUUCUGAUUAAAUUAAAUAGCAAGUGAAAGAGAAUCAUAUAUAUUUAAUCUUUAUGAACUUUCUUUCAAUGUUUAUGUUUUCCUAUAUUACUUUCCCUAGAUACAUAUGAAUUGUGCAAUAAAGCUAAAUGUAGUACGCUAUUUUAGUUCUUAAUGUCAUUGAGAAAUUUCACAUUUCUUAUUAAGUUGUGCUUUUUCUGCAAAAAUUUUAGCAGAUGCUUUCAUCUUCAAACAUUUCAUGUCUAGUUCAGGAAUAAUUUGAGGCUUUAUUCUUCGUAUAAUUGUCAUCUUCAACCUUUGUGUUGUGUGGAUAAUUGUUUAAGUAGUUAUCUUCGGACUUUGUUUGACAGUUUUCAAGAAACAACUCCUCGAGCUAACAUGAAAUGUAACAAAAAGUUAUUUUUGUAUCAUUGAGAUAUAAUGCAAAAAUUAAUAUAAAAAUUUUUACCUAGAUCUAGAAUGUCAGGUCAUUGAUAUGUAAACACUUUCUUUGCAAUUUUAUAACUUUCUAUCAUAAGAUCACUCAAUUGUCUUCGAAGUAAACUUAUGACAUAAAAAACAUAAGAAUGUGUACAGAUUUGAGCAUACAUUGAACUAACCACAAUAGCAACAUUCGAAAUAUUUAACAUAUGAGCUCUUUUAUUAUCAUUAUGAGAACAUUAAGAUUUUAAGAAUAUACCAACUUUCAUGAUAUGCGUCUUAUUAGAAGAACAAUAGGUAUAUUAAACCUACUUAACAUACGCUCAAAGUAUGUUUUCUAAGACAAACCAAGUAUGCAUUUAAAUUUAUCAUAAAGAAUCUCAAUACCUAAAACAAAAUGAAGCUUCACUUAAAUUCUUUAUCUCGAAGUAAUAUGAUAACAUGUACUUUUUCUUAUACAAUAAGUAAGUAUCAUUGAUUACUAGCUAGAUGUCAUCAACAUAGAGCAUGUGAAAUACGUAGUUACUCUCACUGAUAUUAAAGUAUAUGUACUGAUUAACAAUGUUAUACUUAAAUUGACAAUCUCAUCAAACUUUAAAUAGCAUAGACUAAAUGACAUUUAUGUUCAUAAAUGAACUUUUUGAGUUUAUGAACCAUAUGUUUCAUCAUGAGAACUACAAAGCCUUCAAGAUAUCCCAUUUAGAUGUUUGUAUCUCUAAAUCAAAAUGAACUAUCAAUGCCAUCAAAAUUUUAAAAGAAUCAUUGGUAAAAAUAAGAAAGAAUGUUUUUUUUAUAAUCAAUUCAUAUUCUUUGCUUAGAGCCAUUAGCCAUAAAUUUGGCUUUAAACCUUUCAACUUGACCUAUGGAAUCUUUUUUAGUCUUGAAAAUUCAUUUACAACCAAUUGUCUAUGAUAAUUUGACAAUUUAAGUAGAUCUCAAUUAUCAUUUUAAAAUAAAGAUGCUAUUUAAUAUCGUGUGAUAAUUAUCCAACUUUGAGAGUUAAAAUCACUAACAACCUUUUGAAAAGUAAUAAAAUCAGAAGACACAUAAGUACCAUAUUCAUGUUCAUAGGCUCCGAAAUGAGAUUGUUAAGAUCAAGUAUUGGUGCAUUCACUUAUGGUAUUUCUCAUCAACAGAUAAGUCAUAUAAAUGACUAUCAUAAUAACACAUUCUUUUUUUAGAAUAACUUUGUGGAGCUCAAAACUCUUACUAAGUCAUCCUCUAAAAAAAUACACAAUCAAACUUGAUGAUUCUAAUAAUAUAUGAUGGAUAAUAAAAAUCUAGAUUCUCUUAAACCAAUAUAAUAACCAACAGAAUAAUUGCUAAUAGUUUUCUUGUCAAGUUUCAUUGAUUGUGAGUUAUACCCCUUACCUUUUCUUUACAACUUCAAACAUGAAAAAUGGUUUGAAGUUGAUUUCAUGGUUGACAACAAUUUAUAACGAUUUUUUAGAAUUGGUUUCGCUUGGAGCUUGAUUUAGAAUGUAUGUUCCAAUCUUGAAAGCUUCGCUCAAUGUAAAUUCUGAUAACGUGGAGUUAUUUAGCAUACAUCAUACUAUAUAAAAAAAUGUUCGGUUGUCAUUCUUUUCUAAUAUUUCAAGCAUAGUAUAAUAGGCAUAAACUUUAUAAUCCUAUAUAGCAAAAUGAUAUAGGGUUCAGCCUAGUUUCAUUAAAUAAAACACAAUAUUUUUCACCCUUAUCUGAUUUGACUACCUUAUUUGGUUUACUUUUAGAUAUCCAAUAAUAGAUUUUUAAAACCUUUAAUAUUUAUAAAGAAUCAAACUUCUCACUCCAAAUAACCAAAAACAAAAAAGAUUUCAAUAAAGAUGAUGAAAUGUUUAUAUCCACUAUAUGCAAUAAGUGGAAAUUGUCCACAAAUAUUAAUAUAAAUUAGUUCCUAAAUAUUUCUACAUCUGCUAAGCUUACACUUAAUAUUAGCAAUGAGUUUUCUCUUAAUGCAAUCUAUACAUAUACUAAAUUCAUAAUGUCCUUAAUGCAUAUGCCACAACAUGAAAGACUUUUCAUCUAUCUAUCAUAAUUAGAACCAUUAACCAUAUUGUUCACUUUUCAUACAACUAAAGUAAAAGGUUAUUCAACAUUGGGGUAUUAGUCUAUUUUACAUAAUCUAUAGCAUAGAAUGCCAAAAUCAAUAUACAUGUUGUUACAAAAAAAAAAAAACUUUUCCAUAAUCAAAAUGAAUAGUGUAAACUAACUAGUAGUUUCGAAACUGACGAAAAUGUAACAACAAUAUUGCAAUUCCUAUGUAUUCAACCUAGACUUUAACUUUAUUGCUCAUGCUUAUAACUAUUUCCCAUAAUCUGGUCUUCGAUUACUUAUCAAUUCCUAUAAGUAAUUGGCUUUACUAAUUCUGGCACUGGUAUCCAACCACCAAAAGUGGGCACGUUACCUAGAAUGAAUUUAGGAAAAAGGUUAACAAAAUGCCUUGAUACCUUUCAAUCUAAAAAACUUUUGUAAUUUGUCCUCUUGUGUCUAAGUUUAUAACAAAAGUAACACACUUCUCUAAAUUCCUCUGAUUUUGAGGUAUUAGUGAAACUAAAAUGGGAAAUGAGCUUCGCAUAUUUCUUCUUUAAAUGACUUUCUGCUUGGGAUCAUUUUUAGUGCUAGCAUAUGUUAUUAUGAAGGCAGAAUGAGAAUUACUAGUUUACAACAACUCUUACUCUUGGAUGAUAAUAGCUUGGAAUUGUCGUUAGAAUGCUUUAUGAAUGCACAUUGAUGUUUUUGCCCUUAAUCGAACUUUCAAAAUGCACCAUAAAUAAAUAUACUACUCACCACCUCUUCCAUCUAGAUAUCCUCUAGUCAUCUUGAAUGACAAAUUAUUAUUUAAUACUUUAAUUUGAGAUAUUAACUUAAUAAAAGAUAAUAUAUUUAUCUAUAAUUAAAAUGUAAUUUAUAUUAAAUGUUAUAAUAAAUUACAAUUAUUAAAUUAAUUUUUGAUUAAGUUAGAUGUAGUUUUAUACACAUGCAAAUUGGGUAUGAAAAAUAAUAUUUUGAUUUUAGGUCAGAGCCAAAUUUUAAUGUUAUAAAGUCAAAUCAAGGUUGGGGUAAAAAAAACUCACCCAACAUGUCCUGUUGACAUUUCUAGUUGGAAUGAUGGUUAAGGAUGCAAAUGGCUGAGUUAUGUUAUUUGUUGUCACUAUGACUUCCUUUGCAGAUAGCUCAUUAAAUGCUAAAAUGAGAUGCAAGCAUUCUAUUUUGGAGUGUUGUGGUUUCAAUUCUAUUGUGGUAGAAAGUGAUGCAUUGUUAGCUAUUUUUUAAAUAUUAAAAGUUGAUGAAUCAAUGUGAGAUGGGUGGCAUCAUUUCGGAUAUUUGGAACCAAAUUUUAGGGUGUGAUAGCUAUGUUUUUUUGCAUAUGAGAAGGUUGCUAAUUCCUUUGUUCAUAAUCUAGCCAAUUAUAUAAUCUUGUUUUUACAUGAUAUUAAAAUUAGUAAAGGGGCCAAGUGAAAGUUGUUUAUAGAAAAAUUAGCUAAAACAUGUAUCAAUAUUAAGAUUUUAAACCAAAUAAAAUUGAAGAUUUUGAAUUUGUCCUCAAUUAACAUUCAAAGGAUAUGGCACAAGCAAUUACUCUAAUCCUUGUUAUGUAUUGAGGAAUUAAAAUUCUUAAAAGUGAAAAACUAUCACAAUUUGAAAUAUUUGUUCUCAUCUUUCAAGGUAAAAGAUUUUGUGUAACUCAAAAGCCUUCUUAUUUGGCACUGUGAGAUCAUGGAAGAAGUAAUCUUCAUUAAAGAAUUGAUAGAAAAAGAAAUGAUGAACCAAAUGUUAUUUGCUAAACUAGAUUUCCUAUAGCUCUAAGACCUUCCCAAACUCACAAGAUUUGCUUUAAACCUUACUUUAAAUUUCCAAGCUUGAGAAUUUUAACACUAACAAAUUGUCUUUUAUUACAAACAUUCAUCUCUAAAUCUAUAACUAGAGACUAACCUCAAAUUUAUCAAAAUACAGAAGAAAGUAACUUGAAGGUUGAUAACUUUGCUUUUUUCAAUAAAAGGUGAUUUUUCUUUUAUUUUUCCUUUACCAUUAUUUUCUUCACAAAUUCUCCUUUUAAUUUGUUGUGGCUUUUUCUUUCAUCUGUUACUUUCAUCAAGCUUGCUUAGUGUUUUUUUUUUUUAAUACUUUUAACAUCCUUUGUCAAUUUAAACUCUAUUGUUUAACACAUUUGUUAAUAUCUAGGAUAAUUUGUAUAUCUUAAAAGAAUUAACAUGGUACCUAUUAGGCAUGAAGCAAGAAACACAACAACAUAGAAGCAAUAUAUCGUAAUAAACAUGCAGUAAUAGACAAUAAUCAAUAAUUAUAAACGUAAAAAAAAUAAAGCACACCAAAAUGUACAUGAAAAAUCCUUCAAUGUAGAGGAAAAAAAUCAUGUACUAGAAAAAACUUCAUUAGCAAAUAAUGGAUAUAUAAAGUUCUUCUCUAAUUAAAACUAGAGCUAAUCAACAACUAGAGAGAGACAAUUGGAGAAAUCUCAUCAAAUAGGUGACUCAACAAAUACAUACUGAAUUUGUUUCUAGAGAGCUUCAAACUCAAUUUUCAUCGAUCAAAAUAUAGAACUCUGAAUCAUAAACCUAUUGACAAAAUUUUAGCUCAAUUAGACCAUGGAUUGACUUUCAUUCAACCAACUCUCCUUUUUCCCUUUUCUUUCUAUUUUUUUGGCUUUUCUUCUUUCUUUUCUUGGUUUGUAACACUUAAGUAGCUAGGGCUCUGUGUAAAAAGAAAGACCAAGACCCAUGGCCUUUGAUUAGUUAAAAACUAGUUACAUGGGGUUGGACCCCAUUUUCCUAACAAUUUCUCCUUCCAGUCCCAUUAGGAGGAAAUUCAUCACCAUAGCAGUUUCAUUUGAAACUUACCUUGGUUAAGAAAUUCAUUCCGAUCAAGUUACUGUAGAGCUUAAGCUUUUUCUUAAAAAGUAUUUUAGUUAACAUAUCUGUUACAUUUUCAUUAGUAUGGACUUUCUUCAACAGCAUUUGAUGUUUCUCAGUCACUAAACAUAACUAGUGAUAUCUAACAUCAAUAUGCUUUGUUCUAACAUGGUACAUGACAUUGUUACUUAAAUCUAAAGCACUCUGGCUAUCACAAAAUGCCACAUACUCUUUUUGAUUCAACCCUAAUUCAAGAAGAAAAUGUUUCAUCCAAAGCAUUGCUUUACUUGCCUCGGUUGCUGCAAUAUACUUAGUCUUUGAGUUGACAAAGUAACACACUUCUGUAAUUUAGACUGCCAAAACACAACUCUUCCUGUAUAAGUCAACAAAUACCUAGAAGUAGAUUUUCUACCAUUAAAAUCACCUACUAUGUUAGUAUCAGUAAACCUUUCUAGAAUUGGUUGUGAAACUCCAUAACUUAAGUACAUUUUUAAGGUGCCCUUCAAAUAUCUGAAAAUUUAUUUCACUACUUCUCAGUGAACCUUUUCAGAUUAAAAAGAAAUCUGUUCACUACACCAACUAUAUGAGUAAUGUCAGACCUUGUACAAACCAUAAAAUACAUUAAAGAACUUACUGUAGAAGAAUAAAGAAUACUAGACAUAGCUAGUUGCUUUUUCUUAGACGUCGGAUAAGAUUUUUUACUCAAAUAAAAAUAGUUGACAAGUGGACUACUAAUUAAUUUAACAUGUUGCAUGUUGAAUCUACUAAACACUUGUUCAACAUACUUUUUCUAUAACAACUAUAGCUUUUCAACUUUCUUAUCUCAAAUAAUGUCAUAUCAAGAAUCUAUUUUACUGGACCUAAAUCCUUCAUGUCAAAGGACUUAGAUAAUUAUUCUUUUAACCUAUAAACCAUACCAACAUCUUGUCCCACAAUCAACAUAUCAUCAACAUAUAAUAAGAGAAUAAUGAAGUUACCAUCAAAAAUUUUUUUUACAUACACACAAGGAUGUACUACCAUUUUUUUAUAGUUAUGGCUCACCAUAAAAGAAUCAAACUUUUUGUAUCACUGUCGUAGAGCUUAUUUCAAGCCAUAUAAGCUUUUUUUUUAUUUGUAAACUAAGUGCUAUUUCCCUUUCACUUCAAAACCCUUAAGUUGAUUCAUAUAAAUGUCCUUUUGUAAGUCAUCAUGUAAGAAUACAGUCUUGACAUCAAAUUGCUUAAGGUUAAGAUUCACACUAGCCAUUAAUCUCAAUACCACUCAAAUGGAACUUAUCUUCAUAACUAGAGAGAAAUUCUCAUCAAAAUUGAUACUUAAUUUUUAAGAAACAUCUUUCACCACUAAUUGAGCUUUGUACCUUACUAGCUUAUCACCAUCUUUUUUCAACUUGAACACUUAUUUAUUUUUCAACGACCUUUUUUCUUUCAAAAGUUUAACAAGAUCAUAUGUAUUAUUUUUUCGUAAUAACUCUAUCUCUUCUUUCAUUGCUUUUAAUUAGUGCUUUCUAUCCGGAGUAGCCUGUACGUCUUGGAAGCUUUUUGGCUCCCCAUCACUGGUAACUAAAAUAAAAUCUAAAUUUGGAUACUUAGUAGAUGGCCUAUACUCUCUAGUAGAUCUUUUAGGCUAAAACACUACCACACCCGGUGUCGAAGGUAGCUUCCCCUGCUCAACACUCUUAGUUAGAAAGGAUUGCUUCCCUGACUCAAAACUGAUUACAUAUGGCUCAUCACUAAUUGUGACUGGCUCAUUCAUAUCGUUACGUUCUAUUUUUUGCUCAUUUUCACUAUCUGUGGCUCUUUCCUAUGAAACUCUUAUUGUUAUUGAAAUAUCACACUCAAUAAUAACUUAUGUAGUCUUCUCAUUUUUCUUAAGAUUUAUUAUGAUUUUUUUUCAUGAAAGACCACAUCUAUGUUUUUGAUUAUCUUUCUCUUCACUGGAUCCUAUACCUUAUAGCUAAAUUUCUCAUUACUAUAUCCUAUAAACACACAUUGUGUGACUUUACUGUCAAGCUUUGACCUUUACUUUUUUGGCACAUACAUGAAUGCUUUACACCCAAAAACUUUCAAAUGAGAGUAUAAAGCAUCUUUUCUUGUCCACAAUCUUUUUAAAAUGUCAAGCGCAAAAGAAUUGAUGGUGAUCUAUUAAGUAAAUAACAAACUGUGUUGAUUGUUUCACCCCAAAAUAGCUUUGAUAAUUUUAUCAUCCUCAACAUACAUUUGACUUUUUCUAUAAUAGUGCAGUUCAUCUUUUCAACUAUACUAUUAUGUUGUAGUGUUUCAGGUUCCGUUAUCUUAUGCCUGAUCUCAUGCUUUGAACAGUACUUUUCAAAGUCUUUGGAUGUGUGUUUUCCACCAUUAUCAGUCCGACUACACUUCAAGGGUAACCUUGUCAUCCUUUUCACCAUGGCAUAAAAUUUUUAAAAGUACUACAAUACUUGGCUUUUUUUUUCAACAUAAAUACUUAAGUCUUAUAUGAAGCAUCAUCAAUAAAAGUAACAAAAUACUUACUACCACCAAAUGACUCAACGUUAAUGGAACCACAUAUGUCAAAAAAAUCAAUUUCAAUCUAUUUUUUUCUCUUAAAACUUUUACAAAAAGAAACUUUACGAUACUUACCAAACAAACAAUGAUCACAUGAAUCAAGAAACAUACUUUUAGUCAAGGGAAUAAAAGACUGUCUUACGAAAUCCUGUAAUCCCUUCUCACUCAUGUGUGCCAAUCUCUUGUGCCACAAGUUACCGAAGCAUCAUCCUCAAUGGCAUUAUCUGGUUACUCUUUAAUUGCAUCCAUUUCUUAUACAUUAUGCAACAUAGUUUUUUUUUUUACAAUUACCAUAGAUCUUUUGAAAAGCUUUCACUGUUUAUUCUUUUAUCAAGUCUCAUAUCCCUCUUUAUCAAAGACAUUAAUAGCAAGCAAGUUUAUUCUCAUAUCCAAAAUGUGUCUGAUAUUCUUUAAAGUCAACAUGUAACCUGUACUAGUUUGUACAACAAUAUCACUAAUCUCAAUAAUCUGUGUUACAUUCUUAUUUUUCAUCUCAGUGUAACCAAAGUCUCUUGCUUUGUAAGUUGUAAAAAACUCUCUUUUAGAAACAUAAUGAUAUGUCGCUUCUGUAUUAACUAUGCACUUAGUGCCAAGAUCACUAACUUGAUUACAAUCACCAUGUGCACAAAUCAAAAUAAUUGAAUCACUAUCUGAAUUCACUACUGCAACAUUGCCAUCAUCUGAACUCUUACCUUUCUCAUCUUUUAGCUCUUGCUUUAAGAUUUUACAAUGUUGUUUUGUAUAACCUGCUUUACCACAAUGAAAACACUUCACUUUAUCUCUAGACUUAGAUCUAUGUUUAGACUUAUUAUGGUUUUUUGAGUUUUAACCUUUAUAGAUGUUUCUACCCUUAUUCUUUAUGACCAGAGCUUGAUUCCCAGGGUUUAAUCUUUUCACCUUGUUUUUUUAUUAAGCAUAUUGUCCUUUACUAUCUCUAAUGUCACCCAGUAAUUAGGAGCUCAAUUAAAAAUAAUCACAACUAGAGUAUUUUAAUUGUCUAGCAAUGAACCCAAAAGAAAUAAUACCUUUAUUUCAUUAUCCAUUUUAAGCUUCAUACCAGUCAUUCGAUUAAAUAUAUCUUAAAAAUCACUCAAGUGCUCUAUAAUCGAUCGUCCAUUCUGAUACUAUAAAGUUACAAUUUUUUUAACAAUUAUAACUUUAUUCAUACUUUUUUUCUCUCAUACAAUACUGUUAAUUUUUUUCAAAUAGUGUAUGCAUCUAUCUCUUAUGCUAUAUGAUGAAACAUGCUGUUAUCAACUCAUUUUUUUAUUGUAGCCAGCGUUUUUCUACCUAACUUCUUUCAGCUUUUAUAUUUCAUAUUUGCUAGUUUAGUCAAAUCACCCAAUAUUUGCUCAUACAAAUCUUUACAAUAUAAAUGAUCUUUUAUCAUAGGCUUUCAAAUUGAAUAAUUUGAUGUUAUCAAUUUUAUCAUGAAACAUGUAUCAUCCUUAUGAUCUCAAACCAAAUUUACUUCUAUCUUAGGCUACUUCUGUAUUAAUGCCUCAAAAUAACCCUUGCUUCAAUACCAUUUGUUAGGCUUGAAGCAAUAAACACAACACAUAAGCAAUAUAUCGCAAUAAACCCAUAAUAAUAGACAACAAUCAAUAAGAAAAAAAUAUAAGAAAAAAAAGCACAUCAAGAUUUACGUAAAAAAUCCUCUAAUGUAAAAAAAAUCACAUACCACCAAAAAAAACUUUACUAUCAAAUAAUGGAUAUACAAAGUUCUUCUCUAGCUAAAACUAGAGCUAAUCAAUAACUAGAGAGACAAUUAGAUAAAUCUCACCAAAUAAGUGACUCAACAAAUACACACUAGAUUUGUUCCUAGAGAGCUUCAAACCUGAUUUUCACUUUUUAGAAUGUAAAAUUCUGAAUCAUAAACCUACUGAUAAAAUUUUAGCUCAAUCGAACCAUGGAUCAACUUUCGUUUAACCAAUUCUCCCUUUUUUUUGUUUUCUCUUUAUUUUUUUGGCUUUUCUUCUUUCUUUUCUUGGUUUGUGACACCAUUUUAAAAUAGUCUCACCUCUUUUUAUUAAGUAGCGAGGGUUUUAUGUAAAAAAAAAAACCAAAGCUUAUGGCCUUUGAUUAGUCCAAAACCAGUUACAUGGGGCUAAACCCAUUUUCCUAACAGUAGCAAAAUAAUAUGGUAAAAAGGAUAUGACAUAGACAACUUUCAUUAGAAUGUUCCAGAAAACUAAAAGUUAUUAACCUCAAAUGUUUUCCUGAGACAUCAACUAUUUUUCCAUAUUGGCUCCUUCAGUCAUUACCAAAUCUUGAAAAGUAUGUCAUAAAUAAAGCUUUCUUCUGUCAAAUAUUCCAAUUUGAAAGGAUCAAUGAUGAUGAAAGACAUACAUCAGUAUUCACUCAGAUAAAGCAAUUGAGGUUGUCUAAACUUUCAGAGUUAACACAUCUCUAAAAGGAAAAAUUCAAUCCUAAAGCAACUUUAUGUAACAUAAGAAUUUUUAAAGUGCUAGAAUGUGGAAAAUUAAAGACUUUAGUGCCAUCAUCGUUGUCUUUUGAAAACUUAACAACUCUGGAAGUUUCAAGAUGUCAUAGAUUCAUGAAUUCAUGCUCAAUAACUACGAGCCUUAUGCGACUAGAAAGAAUGAGUAUAACUUAUUGCAAAUGAUAAAGGAAAUCAUAGCAUGUGAGGAUGAAGAAAAAAAGUGACAUUGUUUUCACCAAACUGAAGUAUUUGCGACUAAAUUGUCUACCACGUCUAGUAAGCUUUUGCUUAUUGGAUCACGCCUUGGAAUUCCUAACCUUGGGAAAAAGGUUGUAAGAGAGUGCCUAAAAUUGAAGAAUUUUUAUUAUAAGGAUUUAAGCACACCAAAGCUGCAACUAGUGCAAUUGACAAGAGAUGAAAAUGAAGUAAAAUUGUGGUGGGAAGUUAACCAUAAAACUACUAUAAAAUAGCUAUUUGACGAAAUGGUAUGCAUCAAUUUAAAGGAUUUUCUUAUGGUAUUCUUUUAGCCAAUGCAAUUCACUAAGAUGAAAUGGCAAAAAAUGAGUAUAAUCUGACGCUAUAAACAUAAAGCAUUUAAUGUUUUAUUUUUAAUAUUUUAAAUGAUUGUACAAUGUUAUUUGGUGCCUUUUCAAACAUAGCUAAUUGAUCAAUUUUUAGUUUUACCAUUCUAUGUUGUUGUUUCUUAUGAUCACAAAAUGUCUAUAAUUUUAAAGUGACUGAGGUUACCCUUCAAUCACCAAAGCUAGAAUAGGGUAAUAUGUUUUGGUGCUUGUGAAACAGUCUCAGUUUCCUUUAAAUUCAAAUCUAAUGGAAUGUAAGUACCUAUUUUACUUUUGUAACUCUUUAGUUGUCUACUUUAUUUCGCUUUAUCAUGGCACAAUUUCUUUAUGGAGUAAUGGUGGAGAUGCGUUCUGAUCAUUGUAUGUUGAAUAGUUCUACUGAAGUAUGAGACCGCCACUUUCCUUUGAACCCAAAAGGUUAUUCUACUUCUUACAAAUGUUUUAUUUGAACUGUUGCAUUUUAUAUUGUAACUUCAAUUCUUAGGAUUGAAUUACAAGUGCAUCAUGCAUGGCACUGUAAACUACAAACAUUUAUUUUUUUACUUGUAAAAUCAAUCAGCUUAAGACUCCUCUAUUUAAAUAUUACCAAAAAGUUAUCCUUCAAGGUGGAUGGAUUUGCCAAUAUGUUAUGGAUAUCAAGUCUCUCAUCAUAUUCUUUUACUGGUAUUCUCGUAUUAUACGACAGAUUGGUAUAUUCUUUUACUUUUUGCUAUUUGUCUCUUAUUAUUACUAUAACAAUUUACAUUCCUUAAUCCUUUUUUCCAUAUUUGAUGCCAAUAUUUGAUUUAUGACUAAUCUAGGAGCAAAAAAAUUAUGAAUGUUUGUUCGUAGUUUUUAGAUCUUGUUUUUACUUAUUCUAAACUCUGUUGCCAAUUUUUUAAUAGUAAAAUUGCUCAUAACAAAAUUACCAGAUUGAGGUUUUUGAAUUAAAAAAAGCUAUUUCAACUAUAUAUUGGAAUGACUUAUUUUAGUUAAUGAUUAAUACUAAAAUUAAAACUAGAUUUUUUAUAGGUGUUUAUGUACAGAUACAAAGCAAAACUAAGAUCAAACUUGGCACCUUGCCUAUGAGAAAUUUUGGAGUCCCCCUCAUCAUAAAGACACUUAAUGAUAAAGAUUAUUCUCUUUUAGUUGAGAAAAUCAUCAAGUACGAACAAGUGGACCUCCAAGCACCUAUCCUAUGUCGAGAGGCUUUAACUUAUCCAAUCAAUUCUCUUUGGUAUGCAAAACCUAUAGUAUUGUGAAUUCAUUCUUCCUCAAUAAGCGAUAAAAAAGAGGGUCUCAAAUUUGUUCUACUUUAUUUUGAAAGUGCCUUAGAUUAGUUGGGAUUUCAUUUGUCACUCAUAGUACUAGGGUGGUCAUGGUUUGAAAAAUCUUAGGGAGUAAAAUCGAGCAUGUAUCUUAAAUAAUAUCUGUAUUCUCUUUAGAAAAUAUGGUUCCUUAUGAGUUGAAUAGAUUUCCACUUUUAUGCUUAAGGUGAAAAUAUUCUAGAAUGUAAAAUCUUCCCAAAAAAAAGUUGGAAUUGGAGAAAGCUUUUACAGCAAUAAUUGUCUUAGGCCAAAGGUUCACUGAAUUUCACACUAGACUAGCAUGGCUAAUAUUGAGGAACAAACAAGCCAAAGUCAACUGGCAGAGGUUUGUUUGGUUCCCUUUUCAUGUUAUAGGCAUCAUCGUUUGGGUGGCUAUUUUAAAUAGGUUCCCAACCACUAUGGACUACAAAACUAGGGAGAUCUCUGUAACUAAUAGGACCUAUUUAUUGUGCAAUGUUGAUAUAAAGUGAAGGAACCAUUUUUUUUUCUUAUAUGCCUUCUUCAAGGGUUUAUGGCAGAUGACUCUUUAUAAAUUUGAUCUUCCAAGAAAUGAAAAGAUAUUUUGUUAGUUCUUUUAACUUGAUUUAGUGUUUUCCUCAAUAAUAUUUAACAUAAUUUAUCAUCUGAUAGCACUGCUUCAUAUAAAUGGAAAUUGUUGAUUUUUUAUCAUCGAAAUUAACUAAUAAAUAAAUGUAUUAUUAUUUUUUGUUAAAUAUUUUACCUUAAUUUGGAUUCAAAUUAUUUUUGGAUAAUUGUAAAUUUAGUUCAUUUUCAGAUUUGAAUUGUCGAUUUUUGUUUUUGUCAAAUCGAACGAAUAAAGUGACAUUUUUAGGUUUAGAUCAGUUUUGACAACUCUAAAGAAAGUGAUACAAGGUUGGGUCUAAAUUUCAUUAGGCAUCCGUUUUCAAGCAUAUUGACAUUAAAUCUCAUUCAUCAUCUUCAUGUCAUGCUUAUUGUUUAGCACAUAAUAUAUGAAGAAGCAUAUUAAUUUAACAAUUAAUCAACAUGCAGUAUUAAAUAACCAAAAUAGUAAUUGAAUUAAGUUUGAUAAAAAUUAUAAAGAUUAAGACAACUAUAUGGUACAAAAAAGUUUAUUUAAACCUUCGAAAGAUUUGAAACAACUACUAAACAUGGAGGUGAAAUAAUCUUACAUUGAUAUAAACCAAGAGCUUUGUUGAAGGAAUUUUAUACUAUAUGAAUCUUGACUUGAAAGAUUAUCAAAGAAAGAAUGAUACUUUCAAGUUGUGAGUGAGUAGAAGCAAAAUGAGUCAUUUUUGUCUCAAAAGUUUAGACCAUAAAUGUUAUUAUUGGUUCCUCUACUAUCACGAUUGUCAUUUUGGAAAAAGAUGCACCUUUACUAAUGAACAACAUAUUCUUUCCCAAACUUCAUAUUGGUUCCCAUAUCUUACUUGUCAAGUUCAACUUUAAAACAUGAAUCUUUUGAUCAGCCAUUGUAAUGAAACAACUAACAAUUCUUAUUCGUUUUCCAUUAGAGAUGCUUAAACAAUUGAAUUGAUACGGAGUGAUGGAUAAGUGAUCAUUUUAUAGGUAUCCCAACUAUUUUGUAUGUCUUUUAGAUCAAAUACUCCCAAGUUUCCCUUGACAUUCAAACAAUAGCGCAAUCUUUUAUACAAAAUUAGAUUGAAAACAGAUAACCAAAACUUUACGUCACACAAAAAAUUAUGUAUUUUUCAAUUACCUUCUCCUACUUUAUGAAAAAAAAUGGAGACCGAAUAAAACCAUCCUUUGAUUCCUAAAACCAAAUAAUUUGGGGUAGGUGGAGAAGUAAAGAACAUUGAAUGCACCCAUUCCAAGGGAAGCAACUCAGAAAGUUCAAUAAUAUCUUUUUGUCAAACGAUUGAAAAGAAAUAGACGUGCCUCAUCUCAAGUCAUUAGUAGUAAGACGUACUUUGAAAAAUAGAUUUUAGCACCUAAUACUUUUACUUUAAGGUCCAACUAGCAAGUGUAAUUAUGUGUAGGGUGAAAAAAUUGGCCUCAGUGAAUAUUGUAUUUGAGGAUUUGGAACAACCAUGAAAAUAGAAAAUUCGCAGCAUGAUUGAAUAAAGAAAGAUGUGGCUUUUAUUUUUCUUCUAUUCUCAAUUGACAUAAGGCAAAGUGAAAUUUCAACAACUAGCUUAAAAACUUAAGCAACAAGGUUGAAAGAAUUUAACAAUCAUCAAAACACAUCAUGCACUUUGGAAGCAUCAUUACAUGAGCCUUAUAAAGCUACCUAAUUUGUUCAUCUUUGCUCUCCAAUUCACUUAAACUCCUAAAUUAUAGUUCAUGCCAAAUAUACCUGCAACCAAAGCACUAAUUGCCACACAAAAUAUCCCAACCUGAAAAAGUAGCCCACCUCUACUUACCUUAAGCCUUCGAGAGCUUAAGUUAAGCAACAAGGUUACUAGAAUACUUGGCUUGAUUUUUAAUUGUUAAGUUUUUUUUUCCUUUUUACUAAUUCUUUAUUUUGUUGGUAAAUCAAAAGAUAUAGGAAAGAAAUUAGAAAGGAUUACAUAGAUUGUGAAAGCAAUCCGUAAUAAUGAAGAAAGAAAAUUUCCAUGAUAUAGGAUUGAUGGUAAUCAAUUAAGAUGCAUAAUCUUCAAUUGUUGGUUAUUAAGAUUAAUAAUAAAUACUAAUAGAUUGUUAGGAUUUUAAUAGGAGUUAUGCUUUCUGUUUAAUAAAAAAGCUACAAAUAAAUAAUCCCAACAGUACAAAUCAAGCAGUGAUACAUAUAAAAAAAUAAGUUGAUAAUGAUCAUAAUAAUAUUCAAUUUCGUAACAAUGCAAAUUAGGCAGCAAAUCUAAAAAAACAAAAUUAGGGUUGAUAGGAAUAAUUCAUAAUAAGUGAUUAGAAGAUAUAGAUAUAUGGCUUCUCAUUUAAAAACAUAAUAUCUUCAAUGUUUUCUUUGAUCCCUCAAUUAAUUUCACUUAUCAAUAUAAAAAAUAUAUAAUAUAUAAGAUUAUGUAUAUAUGUGAGGUUAUUGUUGGGUUUUAGUAGGUAAUUAAUUAGAAUUCUUUUUGAAUUUAAAUUUUAAAAUGAGAUAGUGUACCUCACUUAAACUUUUAUUUAAAAAAUGCUUAAGAUGAUGUGUCAUUUGAUCUUAGAAAUUGCUUAGUUGGCAAGAGAAUAGUUCAACUCAAAUGGGAAAGUACUAGUUGACAGUUAAAGUGAAGUUUGUAAGAAGCAACUUCUGUACUAUGCACAAAAAUUUGUUGUGGAUAUAAAUCAUUGUUAGCCAUAUGUAUUUUUAUAAUUAAAAAAUGGUUUAAGUUGAGAAGUGUUGAACAUUAAAAAAAAUAUUGUUUUUAAGAGGAUAGCGGCAUGGGGAUAAUAUUUGAGAAUAAUACAAGUAAUUAAAGAAAGAUGAUUAAAAUAUUAUAAAUUUGUAAAUUGUGUAAAUAGUCCUAAUAAUGAUUUAUGAUUUAAAAAUUAAAAAUAUUCGUUAUGAUUGACAAAGCUAUAAGGAAUAUUAAGAUUACAAAGAUUAUUUUUAAUUUUUUGUUUUGUAUAAUAUAUUUUCAUUUUUAUUUUUAAAUAAUAUCUAGUUAUUUUUUAAUAAAUUAAAAAUGUAAAACUAAAAAAAUUAAGUGUUGAAUUUUAAAUUUUAAAAACCUAAAUACUAAAUUCUUACUAUAAAAAUCAUUUGAUAUUUUAUUAAAAAUUAAAUAAUAAAUAGAUGCACUGCUGAUUUGUUAUUAAAUAUUCAUCUUAAUGAAAUUUAGAAAAGAAAAUUAAAUAUUAAAAUAAAAAUAAUAUAAAAUAAAUGUAAUUAAAUGAUAAAUUAUUCCUUUCUCAAAUAAGAAUAAUUAAAAUCAUUCAUUAACUUAUAACUACUUAAAAUUUUCAAAACAUUUUUCAUUGAAAAUCUUUUAUGUAAGUUUUUUUUUCAAAUGAGUUAUCAAUUUUAUUGAAAAAACUUGAAUCAUUAAAAUUUUUUAUAAUUUACAUACACCUUUUUGGAAAUAAUAAAAGAAUCAAUAAUUAGUAUAAAAAGUUAAUCGUAACUUCAAAGUCAUUAUGAAAAAUCAUAUUUAAUUGACUUAGAUAAUAAAAAAUUAGCUACUUUAAGCUAUAUACAUAAACAAUCUAAUUUAAAAAAUUAAAUGAAUUUAAGUAUCCAAUCACAAAUAAUGUAUCAAUUUUAUCAUUUAAUCGUUUCAAAUUAUAUAUAUAUAUAUAUAUAUAUAUAUAUAUAUAUUAGAGUGAAACUUGCAUUCCACUGCACUUUUUUUUUCAUUUGAAAUUAUUAAUAUAAAAAAAAUGAAUAUGUUAUUAAUAAGUAAUAUAGACAAUUAUAUAUGGUUUUAAAAUAAGUUUUUGAGCUAAACGUGGACAAUCAACUAUUUAAAUUUUGUUAUGAAAAUUGGUGUGGUGGGUCCUAAUAAUUUUGAGUUUAUAUAUAUAUAUAUAUAUAUAUAUAUAUAUAGUUUUUAACGUUAUGAGUUUGAAAUUAAAUUAAUAAUCCUCAAAUUAUUUUUAAUACCAAAGGUAAUUUGGUUUUAAAUUAAAAAAAAAAAAGGAUAGUUUUAAUUGUAUGUAUAGACAUGUGAAAGAAAUAUAAAAGACAAAAUAUUUAACUAAAAUGUAACUAUUUAAAAAUAAAUUACUAAUAUUAAUAUUUUUUAUAUAUUAGUUGGAUUAGGGAUAAAAUCUACCUCUUUAGUAAAUGAAUCUCUAAAGAGAUUAUGUUGUGACAUCUGUCUAAAAUGAUUAGUUUACCUUUUCUAACAUAUAAAAUAAUUAUUUUAUUUUUUAACCAAAAUAAAAUAAUUUUCAAUAUAAAUAAUAAAAAUUUAAAUAUAUAUUAAAAUAAUUUUACAAAGUGAUUAUAUUCUGAUACCUUGACACUUGUUUAAUAUUAUAAAAUGAUCAUUUUAUCCUUUAAUCAAAAUAAAAUAAUCAUUUUAUCAUAAAUAAUAAAAAAAAUUCAAAAUAUAUUAAAAGAAUUUCGAAUGGGUUAUAUUUUUAAACCUAUUUAAUGUUAUAAAAUAAUCAUUUACACUUUCUAAUAUUAUAGAAUGAUUAUUUUAUCUUUUAAUCAAAAUAAAUAACCUAAAACGUAAAUAAUAAAAAAAAUGUAAAAUAUACAAAAAUUUAAAAAAUUAGAUUUAAAAAUUUUAAGUAAAAACUUAUAUUUGAAUUUAACAAUUUUAAAAUAACACCAAACAAUGAGGUGAUGAAAAAAAAAUUAUCCUGCAAGAAACCAUAGGUUAAAUACUAAUAUCAAUAAUAACAAGUUAUAUGAUCAUGUAAAUGAUGACAUGGCAUAGAUGUGGCAAUAAUAUUCCAUUUAUGGAAUAAAGAUGGAAAGUAUCCUAUAAAGAAUAAAGAUUUUAAUUAACCUUACUAUCAAAAACCACCAUACAAAAACUCUGUUUGAUAAUUAAUUUUGUUAUCUACAACAUAAAUUCAAGUUUUAUAAACAAAUAUGAUAUUAUUAUUACUACUACUACUACUACUACUACUACUACUAAUAAUAAUAAUAAUAAUAAUAAUAAUCUAUUAAGUAAUAAAAAUUAAAAAGGUUUUGACUUGGUGAAAUUUAGUUUGAUAGAUUUUUAAACUCAAAGAUAGUUAAAUUAUUAAACAUGUUAUACUAUAUAUCAUGAUUCUAGAAAGUAAUCAUGAAUCUCAUAUUAAUUGUGUAUUAGCACCGACCCUAGGAUAUAAAUGUUCAUAUUACCUUCAACUUGUGAAAUGUUUUUUGUGACAUAAAACUGUAAGACUUAAUAGGUCAAAGAAGACAAUAUCUCAUAAAUUGAUGUGAACUGUGACAUUUGUUAAAAAGAUUUUAAGAGUAUUUGUUUGUGUCACCGAGGAUGAUAAGGGUUCAUUAGAGUGGAGGACGAUGUCAUGGUCCUAAAGAGUAGUUAUAAAUCUCACAUUAGUUAUGUAUCAAAGUUAGUAUUGAGAUAUAAGUGUUUAAACCAUUUAACUUAUAAGACGCUUUUUGUAAGAUAAAAUCGUGAGACAUAAUGGAUUCAAACAGAUGAUACCUCAUAAGUUGUGUGGAUGAUGACACUGUACAUGUGGAGCUAAUAAUGGAAGGGGAAAUUUUAAUAAAAAAUUAUUAUUAGAAUCAUAUAUAUAUAUAUAUAUAUACACACAUACACUAGGUGGGGUAUUUGUGUAUUGUCAUAGAUAAAAAAAAUUUUAUUUUGUUAUCCUUAUUCAUUGAUUUUUUUUUAUAAAAUUAACCUAAUUAAAAGAAUAAAAGACAAAAAGUAAAAAAAAAAGGGGAUGAUACAUGGAUAUCUCAACCAACAUCACAUUCUUACAAAAUGUAUUUAAUAAAAAAUUUUAAAAAAUAAAAAAGACAAAAUUAAAAAAAAUUAAAAAUGAAAAAAAACUCAUAAUAAGUGUCAUAUGGACACCUUUAUUGAGUUUAAAAUAUUAAUUUCUUAAAUUAAGUUUAAAAAUAUAUGUAAUUAAAUUAAUAAUAAAAUAUAUACUUUCAUAUAUACCUCGAAAUAAGAUAAGUCAAAUCAUUCUAAACAUGCUUUCAUCUUGAUCUCAUUUUUCAUAAAAGAUUCGACAUAUUUCAAUUCAAUCUUGAUUUUAAAAAAUAAAAGAAACAAAAAUUUCUCAAUUCGUUUUUUAACAAAAUCAUUUAAAUUAAAAAUUAAAAAAGUUAACAAAAAGAAAAAGAAAAAGAAAGAAAGAAAUAUAAUGUGUCACAUUGACUCAUUGAAUAAGGGUGAAAUAAAAGUCAAAAUAAGCAAAAUUUAUAAAAUUGGUGGAUGAAUGCAUGGAUUAUAUUUUAAUUAUUUAUAAAUGUAGUAUUUUUAUCCUUAAAAAAGUUAAAAAAAAAACAAAAAAAAAAGCCUAGUUUAAAGCGGAUCUUUUUUUUUAAAUAAAAUCUAUCAAAUAUUUAUUGAAUAUUAAAAACUUUUGAUAGAAAAAAGAAAAAAUAGUAAUGUGACUUAAAUUUUGGUCAUGUAGUCCUUAAAUUUUGGUCAUGUACUAAAUGACUAAAAUUUAUUACAUGACCAAAAUUUAAGAUAUUUAUUAAAUAUUAAAAACUUGCAAAAAAAAGCCAAAAAUGGUGACAUGGCUUAAAUUUUAGUUAUGUAUUGUUCAUUUGUAUCUUAUCAAAAUUUAAGUGUUGGAUUACGUGGAUUGCCCAUGCAUUCCUAGAUAAAAUUUUUUUUAUUGUUUUGCCAUCUCUAUUUAUUGAUUUUUUUUGUUGUAAAAUUUAUCUAAUUAAAAAAAAUAAAAGGUGAAAAAUUAAAAAAAAAAAACAAACGGAGAUGUACGUGGUUAUCUCAUUUGACCUCAUAUUUUUGCAAAAUUUAUUUAAUAAAAAAUUUUAAAAAAUAAAAUAUAAAAGUAAAAAGACAAAAAUGAAAAAAAUAAAAAAAAAGUUUAAAAAUUGAAGAAGAAACUUAUAAGAAUACCACAUGGACAUUCUAUUAAGUUUAAAAUAUUAAUUUCUUAAAUUGAGUUAUAUAUAUCAAUAAAAAUUAAUAAUAAAAAAUAUAUUUUUAUUUAUACUUCGAAAUGAAUUAAUCUAAAUUAUCUUAAACACGCUAUUAUCUUGUCUUGUUUCUCACAAAAAAUUUAAUUUGUCUCAAUUUAAUUUUGAUUUAAAAAAUAAAUAAAACAAAUUUUUUCAAAUGGAUUUUUCUACAAAUUUAUUUAAAUUAAAAAAUAAAAGGUUGAAAAAAAAGAAAAAAAUAGAAAAAAACAUAAAAUGUCAUGUUGACACCUUUAACGAGGGUGAAAUAAAAAUCAAAAUAAACAAAAUUCAUAUAAAAGAUGGAUGAUUGCAUGAAUUAUAUCUUAAUUAUUUAUAAAUAUAAUAUUUUUUAAUUUAAAAAUCUAAAAAAGCUCAAAAAGAAAAUUUUGGUAUAAAGCAGGUUCUAUAUUAUAAAAAUAAAAUCUAUACAAAAUAUUUAUUAAAUAUUAAAAAAUUUUGACAAAAAGAAAAGAAAAAAUAAAAAAUGUGAGGUGACUUAAAUUUUGAUAAUUUAAUUUUUAUUCAUACAUGAUAAAAAUUUAAAUUUUAGAUUUUGUAACUUCAACAUUUAUAGUAUAUUUUUUAAAAAUAAUAAAAAAAGACACGAUAAUUCUAAUAAAAAAAGAUAAAAGGAUUGAGUUAUGAUAUCUGAUUUAACUUAAUUUAUUUAAAUUAUUGAAUUGUUCAAAAAUAGAAUCCAACUUAAUUUAUUGAUUUUUCGUUAAAGACUAAUAUCAUGAUAAUUUUUAAAUUAUAAUAAAAUUUUCAUUUGCAUUAAAUUAAAAAAUUUUUUAAUAUAAUAUAUAAAUUAUAAAUUUAUUAAUUAAUAUAAUAUUCAAAAAAUUAUUUAUUUAUAUUAACCAAAAUAAGAAUGAUAUUAUUUAAAAUUAUAUGACAAUAACUCCUUGCCAUCCAUCUCGUAUUGAUCCUAUGGUUAUCCUUUUAGUUUCCAAAUCUAACGGUCUAGAUUAUAUGAUUUUCAAAGCCUUACCUGCAUCACCAUACAACAAAAAAUGUCUAACAUGUACUUUCACAAGGGUUAGGUUAGAUAUUAGUUGUCAGACAUAAAGUCAUCGUAGGGUUUUGCUUACUUAAAGCUUGAGAUUGAAGCCUUUUCUCUUACUCUUUCUCAGAAACUCCAUUUGCCAAAAGCCAACGUCAUCUCUUUAUCUUUAUUUCUUCUGCAGAUCUCACUAAAAUUCACGAAAGUCAAGGGUAUGCACCAAAUCAGAGAUCAGAUCUCCUUUGCUUUAAUCUUCGUCAGGCCGCUUGGAUAUGUUUGCAAUCGGCGCAGAUCAAUCGAAACAAUCAAAUCAUCAAAAACAGAGCUUGGCAGAGUCAGAUCUGCAAUAUAAGAGAACUUUGGAUUGGUUACUAUAAUCAAAGAGUCUCCUCUGUUUUUGUUAAUUUUUCUAUCAGUCCUGUGGAUACAAGUUGUGUCAUAAUUAUGAUCAUGAUGUAGGUCUGGUGCUUGGUUGUUUCUCUUUAUCCUCUUAUUUUAGUUUAGGGGUAGAGUUUUAAUUAUAUUAACAAAAGUUGUAAUACAAUAUCAUGCAAUACAGGUUGAAACUGGACACACAGUUAUUGUUCAUGCUGCGGUGGGAUUGACGGGGUAUAUGAUUCUGUAGUGGCUGUUCUAUUUCCUUAUUCUCCUCUUGCACAAAGCCAAGUGAUGUAAUUGAUUUUAAUUGUGUUGAGAUCUUGUUCAGGAUUAAUUGGUAUCGAUUUUCUUUUCCCUGAUUAUUUGAUUUGCUAUAGUCAACUAGUUGAAUAGUUAUUGGUUCUUUGUUUUAGCGUUCCUACAAAUGUGAUGUUUGUUUCAUGUAGUUUGAUUUAUGGGACCUUUUGUUUUUUCAAAUUAUACGGAUUUUGUGUCGAUACAGUUGAGCUACUGCCCUUAGUUAACAUUGCAAUUUUUUUCCUCUUCCAAUCUAGUAUUUUAUCUGUUUACUUGUUAAGUGGAUUAUGUUUACUGCACACACACCAUCAAGUAAUGAUUCAAUGGAGCCCAGAAUCUAUGCUGUGAGAACUUCAAGUGUGAAGUGGUUUGAAGGGAAACCAAUUUCACUAUUUGGGAUAGAAAUUGAAAUGGUUUAGAACUUUCCUCCUUUGCAUUGAGAAAUAUAAUCUCUAGCAAGCCUUAAUUUAUUACCCACUGAACCUAUUAUCCUCUCUUUCUUUACCGUGAAAAGAAGUUGAUAAUUGAUAAUGGUUUAAACUUUGUGAAGUUACUUGUUUAUUUGAUGGUAGUAGUUAGUUCAUUGAAUGGCUCUAAAACGUCUUUUUCAACAGCCAUCUUUGUUAAAAUUAGUUUGUUCGUGCAAUUCUCUUAUCCCUACUCUUAAGUUUUAUAUCUUUUUCUAUCUAAUUUGGGUUGGAAUAGAUUGCUGCAUCUGGGCAUUUCUUAGGGAUUUUCAUUAACUCAAAUUUGUUGGCUGUCAUUUUUGUUUACCUAGUAGUUUUUAUAAACAGUUGUUCUUGCUGUAAUUAGUGUGGAAAAGUUUUGAUUUCAAAUGUGGUUUUUGAAUUGAGUAAAUCUUCAUGAGCUCUUAGUAAAGCUGGCCAUUCACAUGCUUAUGCGAUUGACUUGGACAUAUACAGCAAAAGAUGCCUUGUUUGAUGAACUUAUCUAAAUAAUAAAAAAUGUCUGGGGUAGGAAAGGCUAACCAGUCCAAGAAUUCUUUGCAGCUGAAUGAUUGUAGAAGAUCGUCGGAGGUUAGAUACUUUUCCUAUUCUUUGCCAAUAUUAAAUAGUUGAGUUCAUACUCUUUUACUUUGUGAUUAGCUUGAAUAAUUUUGACCUGGCAAUAUUUUGAUCACUUUGGAUUUGGAACUCAGGUGAAUAUGAAAGGCCUGCAUCUGGUCUCCUCUCCAUCCAUGAAUUCCUUUUAAGGUUGAUGGAUGGAAGGCACAGAAAGGGCCUCAACCUGAGAUUACUUUUUGUGCCAAGCCUUUAAGAGCAGAAACAUUUCUGGAUCCAAUGUGCGACAUCAAUUUCACAACAGGACCGUUACAAAUAAAAUAACUAAAUUGAAUGAAGUGUCCAACAAUUCUUCCCGUUAUAGCUCCAUUACUUGCAACGAUUCCUCUGCUGUUAUGUCAAAAGGAUCUAAUGCUACUAAUCCAUCUGCUAUGUUCAUCGAUUAUGCUGAAUAAGACAAGUCUACAAAGGGAAAUUCAUGAAAGGAGGCAAGAAGGAAGGGAAAACAUAAAUAGAAGCAUUUAUGUGAUGUUGGCUCCAGAGAGUCAGAAGUUUGUUAGAGUAUACCUAUGGAAGUUAAGCAUCUGAAAUCUGUGGUAACAAUGACAUGAACUCUGGAUGACAUGCAACUUUACAAGAAGUUUCACCAUCCGAUGGUUUGCUUAAUAUAACUGAUUUUGCAGGCAGCAGCAAUGGUAUUUUUACAAGUUUUCAAUCACCAAAUGUAUACACCUCUGACAUUGAUGAAGUGGAUAUACCUGAAUGUAUUGUACCUUCUCAAGUUCAGAAGCUUCCUAGGGAGCAUCAUACAAAUAACUCUGAAAUUAGUAGGGAAGACCAGUUUCUAUAGGUGGAGAGGAGACAUCCUUCACAUAUGGGUUUUCUUAUAGAUUUACAUGAGAAGGAUUUCCAUGAUAUGCAUGAUUCCCUAGUGUUGGACUCAGUUUCUGUUGGUUCAAACGGUGAAGACGGUGUUAGUGCUGGUCAUAUUGUUAAUCCAUUUAUUGGCAAUAGCAAUGAAACCUUUCAAUCAGAUUUACCAGGUUCCAAUACGAAGAAGGGGUCCUAUUGUCAAAACUUGUUAUGUAUAUUUCAAUACGAAGAAGGGGUCCUAUUGUCAAAC